RNAcentral lists this long non-coding RNA (82614 nucleotides) under Fragaria vesca (wild strawberry). RNAcentral's name for it is "long non-coding RNA (FVES_LNC003379)". Lineage: Eukaryota; Viridiplantae; Streptophyta; Magnoliopsida; Rosales; Rosaceae. The record is from RNAcentral.
UGAGAAAAAAAUUACAAAAGAAAUAGCCUUGAUAUAUAUAGGGAAGUGAAAUUUACGCUUCAUAUUUUACAAUUCACACGCUUUCUUUUUAUUUUUAGGUAAAGUUUUCACAAAAAGACAAAACACAUGUCACUAAAGACAAAAUUUAAAUUACCAAAAAAGGAAAGUGAGACUGUAGAUUGUAAAAUUAGAAGUGUAAAUUUCACUUUUCUAUAUAUACUUGAAAUAUGUAUAGUUUGUUCUAGGAUAUUCUCUAUGUGUGCCUUGGUCUUAUGCCAAUAGGAUAUGUAGUUAGACUAGAUCUAUGUAUUCAUAUCCUUACCAUAUUGGUAUUGUGUAAUUCCCUAUAUAAAGGGCUCAUAUCAAUGAAUAAGAUGAUGAUUCUCUUGCUAUCUCUUUGUCUCUACCACUUUAUACUUCAUCACGUUAUCAUGCACUUUGUUCUAACCCUAGAGCCAAUAGCCCACAAUUUUUUUUCUGAACCCUAAAAACCAAAACCCUAAAAUCGGGCAGCCUUGUUUUUCCCGAUUUCCGACCAAAAUUCCGACUGUCCUCCACCGGAAUUUUAUAUCCCCAGAAAGCUCUCUCCGUCCCGGAUCCAACGCCGCCGGUCUCACCCUGAGAACUGGCCAAAAAGUCUCCGAACCGGCCGUCUGAAGAUUCCAGACCGCCGCCGCUACCGACCACCGGUUCACCACCUUUCCUUGCUCCGAUCAACCUGAAAUUUUGACAGCAGCUUCCCCAUCCAGAGCUGCUCCUCCUAUCAAAUUUUCAGCCCCAAAUUCGAAGUAUAAGUAGGCGAAACGUUAUUUCUCCUCUCGGCAGCCUCUAGAAAGGUAUGUUUUUUGAAACCUUAAACUUUUCCAAGUUCAAUAACUCGGGGAGGAUAAAAUCCUUUCCUCCCUUCUCCAUCUCCAUUCUAUGCUUGGGANNNNNNNNNNNNNNNNNNNNNNNNNNNNNNNNNNNNNNNNNNNNNNNNNNNNNNNNNNNNNNNNNNNNNNNNNNNNNNNNNNNNNNNNNNNNNNNNNNNNNNNNNNNNNNNNNNNNNNNNNNNNNNNNNNNNNNNNNNNNNNNNNNNNNNNNNNNNNNNNNNNNNNNNNNNNNNNNNNNNNNNNNNNNNNNNNNNNNNNNNNNNNNNNNNNNNNNNNNNNNNNNNNNNNNNNNNNNNNNNNNNNNNNNNNNNNNNNNNNNNNNNNNNNNNNNNNNNNNNNNNNNNNNNNNNNNNNNNNNNNNNNNNNCGAUGAUCUUUUGUGGCAUCAUGAUCCAUAAUCUUUAGCGGAUUCGAUCAUCAUCAAGUUCUCUAGGUUCUCCAAGUUGGUGUGGAAUUACCAACGAGACUUGAUUUUGAUCAUACAAACAGGAAUUGUAUAUACGCUAAUGUGAUAAACUUAUUUGAGAUUAUCCCCUAAUGUGGGGACAACAAUAUGGGUCAUGGCAACGGCAGAAACGUCGUGCCGAUGUCUAGAAAAGAGGGGGAGGUGUUGCCGGCUCUAAUAGCGACACUCCCGGUCUAGACACCAUUUUGUCAAAACUACUCACGUCAGCUCAUGACAUUAAUGCAACCGUUGUGGAUCUUCGGAUCGCUGGUUCAAGAUUGUCAAGCUCCUUUAAAUUGUGAAUGCAUACAAAAAUGUAUGGAAAAUCAAUAUGAGGACAAGAACGUCAUCCUCAUGAUCGCGCAUUUCAAAGAUUUGGAUCCUGCUCUAGCUACCCAUGACUUUGAUGUCAUCGGCUAGACAUUGAUUUUCGUUCCAAGUUAUAUGUACUAAGGCGUUGUAUCGACGUUCUUUGUCUAUUUGAGACCUCGAUGUACUCACAUUAGCAAUAAUGAAUUCCUUGAGAAUUUUUCGAAGUGAAACUAUUCUCCUCUUAUGGUUCAUAUUGAUUUACAAUCAAGAUGUACACUUACAUCGUCCUUAGAAACAUGACAUAUUGUGCCGAUUUUGGUCAUUUCUUUUGAAGGUGACUCAUGGCACUGCAUCCUCAAGGAGGAUCGCCCACGUGUUUCCGGUUAAGUCUUCUACCCUAUAGCGGAUUUUUCAUCAUCAAUUGUUCAACUAGGCUCAUCCAAGCUCAGUGUGAUGUCUUAGAAUUGUCCGAAAUUAAGGAGAUAGUGGUUUUAAGUGUGCCUCGCACUACCGACCCUCCACGGACAUGCCUGGUCAUACUGACUUGGAGUUACCGAAAGCUUUUGAUUUUGGAUCCCCUUACGCUAUUAAACCAAUUGCCGUCUUGCAAAAGACGUUGAAGACUUAUCAAAGCUGGAAAAUUAUCAUCAUAAUCGGAUCUUCUAGGUCCUCUGAGUUAGUUUAUGUUCAUGUCAGGGAGCUUUUGCUGACUAGUCAUGGAGUUUACGACCUUAGAACGAUCGAAAGGACUUGGUUUUGAUCAUACACACGUCAAUUUUGGCUAAGGAAAAAGCCUACACGCCACCUGCAAGCUUCACAGCUUCGCACAUGCCAAAUCUGCGAAAAACAGCAAUCUGUCCCUUUUGGACAGUCAACUUCGUUUGAGCUUUGUGGACAGCUCCGGACGAACCAGACAGUGAGCUUUAUAUCAUUGGAAAGCUCUAUGAGUCUAGUUUUCAUAACUUUUCACGGUUUGUCCAUAUCUAUUUUAACGAAGAAGUUAUGGCUGUUUUAGUGCGCAAAGGUCAUUCUGCGAGAAAAUUUUUCUACACUCUCAGGAUUGCAGCUUUUCGUAGCUUCUUUCAAUCCUUCUAAAUGGUUCAAGUAGAACUAUUUACUCGCCUAUCUACUCCUUGUAGUUAUGUCUCAUAGAGACAUUGAGUGCUUCGCAGAUAGUGGAACUAUCCACAACAUUCUAUGGAACCAUGUUGAGCUUUAAAGACAUUCAUGCUAAUGGUUUUCAUUUGAAAACACAUUGUGAGAAUGAACAAGAAUUCUUUUGUGUAUACCUUCUCAUGAAUGCGAACUGAAGCGCAUCUUGGAGAAAUUCAUGAGUCAUUUUAGUGAACUGUAUGUCACUACGAUUCGAAUAUCGAAUCCCAUGUUGUCGCCAAACAUGAUAAUUGGGACACCGACUCAUAUAGGCUUUGGUUUGACCAAAUUGGUAAACCUGGAAGAGAUAUAAUGGUCCAAAUUUUGAGAAAUUCUCAUGGACAUCCAUUCUUCCGCUCAAAACGAAGACAUUCGAGAUCUAGCAUCACCAUGAAGCAUGGUGGUGACCCGGGGGACAUUGACGUCACCUGAACACGACUCCAACUUCCUAGAGGUCGUUCGGUCAAUUUCUCAAGCAAUUGAGAUGCACCGGUCUUUCCUCGAUGUUGCAUUGGCCCCCUGCAAUGCUCAUUGCUCGUUUUGAAAGCCUAUUCUUUAGCUAAAUAAGGAGUGAGACCCUCCUACGCUAAAUAACACAAAAGUGAACAUUCUAUUCUUACAUCAAACUAUGUAGAUAGAUACAACCAACUUGCGGACACCUUUUUAUGUUUUAUGGUGUUGGUUGAAGUGUUAACACACUGGUCACGUGUUACACUAUUAUCUACUGUUUAUACUGCUUAUACUUCUACGGGCUCACUACCCAUUCUUUAAAGAAGUUUAUCGGGAUGUAAGUUGAAGUGUCCUGUACCCCAUGUUCACACGCAAUACGGUCUCACCGAGGCUACGACUAAGCAACUUUAGCUUGUCGCUCGAACAUUAUUGAUGCGCACCAAUCUUUCUAUUGCGUCUUGGGGCUAUGCAAUAUUUGCAUGCAGCUUUACUAUUCAUCUACGACCCACCAUCAUUGAAUUUUGUUGUACUACAGCUCGUGACUGUGUACCAGGAUUGACACGAAAUUGCAAUCCUUGAGCUCGGCAAGAUUGAAACGGAUCUCCAAUCCUUAAGCUCAGCUAGAUGUUAUUUCUAGGUGCCAAAUCGCAUUGCCACUGCGUACAAUGAUGGGUCAUUUGAGAUGAAUAAGUUUAGGUUGGAUAUGAACCUCCACCUAUAAUCCGCAUAUGUAGAAACCUUGUCAGGCGAUCUCAUUCACCGCUAAAUUGCGGAUUGUCACUUUGAUGAGACAAUAUUCCAGCCGUUAGGGGGAGAUAAGAACACAAGUGUUCAAGUGGAACGACGUGAAUUGUAUUGGUUUGUCCCCACUAAGUCUCAUCUUGAUCUCAAAUGCUUAAAGUGUUAAAGUGACGAGAUCACAUGCUGCAAAUAUGUCUGCAAUAUGUCUACAAGGAUUGAUGUCCUACAAAAAGACAUGGCACGACCAAAAGGUGUUGGUCUUAACCCCAUCACCAUGGAUGGUGAUAUGGUGACGCCAUAUAGUGGCAAAAUUGGUGUCAUAAGGCCGUGUGGCUCCCUAAAAGGAGGGAGGCCCUUAGGUUCGAUAUUUUCUCGCACUAGGAAGAAAGCGAGAUUGGCACAACCUGAUCCAUUAAUCAAUGAUACUCAAAUCCGUCUCAUGAAGUCUGAAUUGUGAUUAUCGUUGGAGGACGCCUCAAUGUCAAAUCCAAUCCAUAUAGAGAUCUCUACAAGUAUUACACUAGUGUACAUGAGGACGUGAGAUAAUGAGUCUACUAUCAAACCACUCUUCGUUGAUGGAUUUCAACUUAGUUGAUUGACCUAAUGGAAAGAUGCGAUCCAGCAUUAACAAAGAGAUAGGUCCUUGAGUAGGUGAUGCCGACACCGCAAGCUAAACCCUAUCAACUAUGCAUUUGUUAGAUAGCGUAGUGAAAGUAAGAGCUUAGACUCACCUUAUGGCGCAAGGUCUUUCACUAACACGCACUGGGAUCAACUACGAUGAGAUAUGCUCUCGUAAUGGAUGUCAUUGAACUCCACUACUUUGUCAGUUUGGUAGUUUCCGAAUAACUGAACAUGCAGCCUAUGAAUGUGGUCAUAAUAAUAUCUCUAUGGGAUCAGAGAUAUACAUGAAGAUCUUAAACGGACUUCAUUCAUCCGAAAUCAAGUGGCUCCAAACUACAGGAGCAUGCGUUUGCUAAAUGUAUUGAAACGCACAUGGACUCUACUUGAUUUGGAAGGGAUAUGGUGAAUUAUGCCUUUGCGUGUUCAUUCCGGAUUUACAUGGACUCUUGAUGGAUCUAGAGAUGCCAAUAUGUAUCAACAUCCGAAGAAAAAGAUCUUGGGAAGACAUGGUCUCGAUAAGGCACUCGAUGACUGUAUUGAUGAUGACUUUCCAUCAAUCGACUUAGGCGCUCUAUAACUAGUGAGGCCUACAUAUACUCCCAUGAUUAGUCAAGGUCUUUACUUUAAAGAGAGAUCCGUUGUUUGUCUAAAGCAAGAUGACAAAUAUGUGUUUAAAGAGAUGGAGUUUCCCAUCUAAGUACAAUAAGACGCAUCAAUGUACUCAACACAAUACGAAAACUUGACAUCUCAUUCGCUAUAAAAAGUUGUAAAAGCUAAGUGUAGCUAUGCGCCCACGCAAUGCCAAUGUAAUGGCAGUAACUCCUUUUUCAAUACUUAAUGGUAUGAAAGGUUGAGGCUUAUUCUAUCCCUACAUAAGAAAGACACAUCAAUAGCAAAAUCAGAAUCUGCCAAGUUUCGUAGGUCAAGCUCCACGGGACUUACAGGAAACCUCACUCACUGGAAUAUGGUAAAAUUGGUACCAUUGGAAGGGUCUAUGUGUCUACUUUCCAGAGACACCAACCAUUUGAUCAUACCUAUCAUAUUGAGUGAGUUAUGGCCGUUUUCGUAAAGUAUGAUGAAUCUGUCCGAGAAUCUGAUUUUGGCAAAACAGUCAACUUCGACGGGACUUUGUGAACAGCUCUUGAUGAACCAGAAUGUGUGUAAUAUACGGUUGGAAAGCUAAAUGAGUCUAGUUUCCAAAACCGUUUACGGUUCGUUCAUAUGUAUUUCCUAGAGGAAGUUACGACUGUUCUAGUAAUUGAAGAUCAUGCUGCGCGGAAACCUGAUUUCCUGCACGAACUUAUGUUUUGAGUUCACAAGCGACCUUCUCCUCAAUAUCUAAGUGUNNNNNNNNNNNNNNNNNNNNUUUUUUGUAACUUGACGAGGUUUUUUGACGAGGCAACAGAUCAGCACCAUCGGCAUAUCAGCGCGCGGCACAAGGGGGAGUGUUCUAGGAUAUUCUCUAUGUGUGCCUUGGCCUUAUGCCAAUAUGAUAUGUAGUUAGACUAGAUCUAUGUAUUCAUAUUCUUACCAUAUUGGUAUUGUGUAAUUCCCUAUACAAAGGGCUCCUAUCAAUGAAUAAGAUGAUGAUUCUCUUGCUAUCUCUUUGUCUCUACCACUUUAUACUUCAUCAUAGUUUAAAUAUUUAACUGUGACGGAUCGUUCGUUGUAGUAUAGUUUACAUGGAAGUACAUGUUUGUCAAUACAAUAGAAAGGAAAAGCUCCCCAAUACAUUACGACUACAUAAUGAUAAUUAAUCAAAUGUGUCCCUCACUAGCUAAAAGUCUAAAACCAUAAACUCAAUUUCUUCUUAUGCAUGACGAGCAAGAAGUUGCAAAGAAAAUUGAAGACUCCAAAGAGUCUGACUUGGAGACUAGACAGCACAUAUUGUCACUGAGACAUCCCAUUAAAUGGGAACCUCCGAAAACAAAUCAAAACUAAUUAUUGAAUUCCAGAAAUAAUAAUGCUAAUCAUGUGUGAUGAGAAACCGAUUUAAUUAUACCCAAAGAGAUAAGGGGUCCUAAAUUUUUUGGUGAUGAUAAACUCCCCCAAAGCAGUAGUUGGUCUAGGAUCACGAGCUUUUCCCACCCCUUUAUAACUGGGUCUCUUUAUUUAGGAUAGUUUCCUUCUGAUGGAGGACACCAAUAUGGCACUUAACCAUUGGCCAAAACUCAAUUAAAAGUUGAAUUAUCUUCUUGGCUACAUUAUUUUUAGCUUCCAUUGGUUGUAUAAGAUCCCUACAUGACUUGGAAAUGUUCUUUCUUUUGAGUUUUACCUAUAUUAAUAACAAUUUUCUUCAUUUGGGAAUUGGAAUUUGAGAUUUGGGACCUCUUAUAUUUUUUCAUAGUUGGAAUUUUAAGAAUGUGGAUGUGAAUUUUUGCAUAAGCAUUUUGUUAUUUUGUGGUUGAAAUUGUUCCUUUUUGCAUAAUUUGCUCCAGUAAUAUAUGUGGAAAAAGCAAUCUAGUACGUUAUGGUAGAACAUUCAAUUGCUGCCAAAUUUAGAAAAGGCUGACGGUAGCGUACCACCCUGCUCUGAUUCCAUAUGUACCCAAAUUCUGGUCAUCUCAUACCAAAAGAAGGGACAAUCUCUUAUGUGGUUAUGAUUUUUUUAUUUAUUAUUAUUAUUUUUUUUUAUCAAAAUGGUUAUAAACUACCACAGCCCGUAAGGAAAAAAAAUGAUUAUACACUUUUUUGGAUGUAAAAUGAUUAUAAACUUUUUUUGGAUACAAAAUGAUUAUAAACUUUUGGUAGCACUCACAUUCUCAUAGUAUCAAAAUCAUAAAGAAGUCUUCUUUUUUUUUUGCUCGAGUCUUGACCUCAAUAAAAUGAAACAAAAUAGAUAACGAAUUAAACAUGAUCGUUAAGUUCAAACUAAACUGUUCUAUAAUGAAAGUUUAAGAAUCUUGGACGAGAUAAAUUAAUAGAAAAUAAAUUAGUUUGGCUAGAGACAAAUACAAUAGUCGAAUAUACAUUUGGGCGAAUUAUGGUGUUGGAUAAUCAAAUCUAUAUCCAUUAAGAUUAAUCAAGUUAAUAUUAUUCAUCAUAAUUUUGAAGAAACACCAGGUCCAUCUAAAUUUGUCUCGUCUAAGCAUCGUCUUCCACCUUGACUCGCAGUAUGAAGAGUGCUCCUAACAAUGGAGAGAGUGAAGACCCUUUCGCUUACGUCCAACUAGGUACAAAAAAUACAUGAACCAGUAAACUCCCUCCUGGGGCAAUUUGAUCAAAAGAGAAUAGAGGAAUGUCACUCUAAAUCAUUUUGUGGGUUGACACAUUGCUCGAAAAAAAUAGGCCUAAUCACUUACGAAAUCACCCACAUCUUUUUUUUUAUGGUUUUGAUCGACUAUAGAUUAUUACUUAAGAGGUCCAACGGAUUCAGGUAAUCGUCAUUGGGCCGAGUUAUUACUAUUGAUUAUUUAGUGAUUUGGUGUUAUUGAUCGAAUUAAUAUGAAUAUCGAUAUUUGAACAAAAUUACAAUAAGCGGAAUUUAAACUAAUGUUGAGAUUCAUAAUUACUGAUCAAUACAAUUGUUAAGUUCCGUGUAGUUCUCGAAAAAGAAACUUGAUAAGCAUACAAAAUCUUACGUAAGUUAUCUAUGCACGUUUGCAUGUUUGUCGGACUUUGAUUACGUAAUGACUUAUUAUCAAAUUAUGGUUUUUAACAUUAAUGGAAACAAGACUCUUUUAAGAAACCACAUAUUCGAGAUAAUUGAUUACAUCAAUAAGUAUAAUCAUCGGUUAAUAAAGUAAUAAUCACAUUGAUGUUGUUCAACUUCGUAAAUUUUCAUUUUCAUUUAAAGACACCGUUUCAAAAAACGAAACUACAAGAGUUUUAACACAAAAUGUCUCUAUUCAACAGUGUCAUUCUUACCAAACUCUGAUAUUUUACUUGUUUUCAACCACAGGCAACAAAAGAAAGUGUACAGAAAAUGGAAAUAAAUUUGGCAAAUUAGGAGACACAGAAUUCCAUAAAAGAGUAGGAAAAUGUUUAAAUGCCCCUUUGGACCUUUCCAUGCACAUUUAUUUCUAUAUUUUCUCUAAAAUCCAAUAUAAAAAGAACACAUUUUUGUGAACCUUUUCCUCAUCCCCUUACUUUCACUACUGUCUGUCUUCCUUUCUCUCUCUUCAAGAUGGCCUUGAUAGCCCACCCAUAACUCUCUCUCUCUCUCUCUCUCUCUCUCUCUCUCUCUCUCUCCAGUACGAUAUAAUUGUGUGCAUAAAAUAUAUAAGCUUUGUGGGUUUUUGUUUUGAGGUCCUAUGAGAUCUACUGCUUGUGUAAGACUUGGUUUAGAUAAAGAUUGGCAGAGGAACUGAACACAAACAAUAUAAGAGAAAAGGAAAGCUCAGAACCUCAGAGGAAGGUAAGCUUAGCAUUCCAAAACCCUUAAAACCAAUCCUACUCAUAAAGUUGUAACCUUUAUAUGUGCUUUUGACUUGAUUGAUCAUUUUGAUUGAACCCCAUAUGCAUCAUCAUCCUUGGUAUUCGUGUAAAUGGUCUUUUGGGUUUCUGCUUCUUUGGAUGCUUCAGAUCCAUGGCGAUGGAUUCUGGUAAAUUUCUCAGCACCCAGAUUCUGAAGGGUUUUGGUUUUUCUUUGAACUUCACCUUCUAUUAAAGUUUAAACCUUUAUCUGCCUCUUGUUUGUGGUUUGGAGUCGUUUUUUCAUUUUGGAAUGCUGGGCAAAGAUAUGAGGUGGGUUUUUGCAGUUCUUAUGGGAAUAGUUUUUGGCAUUUAAUUUGUUGCUGUUAGGCCCUUGUUACUGAAGUUUGAAUAUUCUCUUUACCAGUUUCUCUGCUGAUCAAAAUUUUGAGGAAGAUAGCAUAAGCAAGUUUUCUACAUGGAGUUCAUUGCUGUUAAUGUGCUUAAUACAAAAUGUAAAUGAACUUGCUUGACUACUAUUAUGGCUGUCUUAAAUUUUUGAUUUUUUCAUAGAAAUAGGCAGCUAAAAUGCAUUGAUAUUGAUUUUUGCCCUGUUUUUUGGGUGUAUCAGACUAAUGCUGUUUUUCUGAAUCAGGAUUGGAGGUCAGAGGCAGGGUAUCAAGUCAUUGGACUAGUCAAAGUUUGUUGAGUUUUUGUUAGUUGUGCUUUCUAAUUGCCAGUAGCUUCAUAGGGAUUGGAUUGACCCUCUAACUAUACUGAGAAGAUAGAAGAGAACUUUAUGGGUUAACAUUCUACUCUGCAAUGACAUCUAAUUUCGGGAACAUCAGGUUAGUAUCUGAUGAUCACAGUUGGUGCUUAAAGAUGGGUAUGUAGUAGUCAUGUCAAAAGAAGUUAGAUCUGAUAUGGUGUAUUGGAGUAGAUUGCCCGGCCACCUUAUCAGAAGCUUUAUUGGAUGUACUUUCUUUUAGGCAUUUUUGUUAUCCAGAGACAUCAGCCUCGUUCAUGUCAGCAGUGUCUUGUCACAUGUGUCGGAACACUGAGAACCUCAAAAUGGGAUUAACGGUUGUACAGUUUAUCUAGGGUUGUAGUCAAUUGGUGAUCCUGUGGCUUGAAAGUGUUUAUUUCUAGUCCUCCUAUAUUAAUUCUUACGCCCUCAUCAUUCCUCUUCUUUGGUGUCCCCAAAUUCGAGGCCCUCUUCCCUGUUGUGCUCCUGUCACUCUUCAUCUAUCUCAUCGUUGAAUUUCUUCCAUCUUUCCUUUUCUUCACAAGGAGCGACUAGCUCAGUUGGCAGUUCUAGUUGGUUCAAUUAUUCAGGAAGUCACUCUGCAAGCAGAACAGUUCCAUCUUAUUUCUGCACAAGAAAAUCAUUGCACCGCCAAUUUCGCUUGUCCUAGAGACUGAUAGCUAAUAUGGAGUCUGCUAGCUGUAUUGCUAACAAUAGACCAGGUGCUGUCCAUCAGUUGCUUCCUGUUGUUGGACCUAUGCUUCUGAUUGCAGUUGGAUAUCUUGACCCUGGAAAGUGGGCGGCAACUGUUGAAGCAGGUUCCCGAUAUGGUACUGAUCUGGCUGCAGUGAUGUUUAUAUUCAAUUUGGCUGCUAUUUUGUGUCACUAUCUGUCUGCUCGGAUUGCUGUAGUCACUGGAAGAGAUCUUGCUCAGGUACCAUUCUUUCUUAUGUAGGGUUUUGUUAAGUUGUCAUUCUUCUCAUUCUCAGUAGCAGAAGUGCUACUUGAAUGCAUACUAGCAUACACUGUCUCCUCAUUGCAUCUUCUUAAUAUAAGUCCUUGCUCUCUCUCUCUCNNNNNNNNNNNNNNNNNNNNNNNNNNNNNNNNNNNNNNNNNNNNNNNNNNNNNNNNNNNNNNNNNNNNNNNNNNNNNNNNNNNNNNNNNNNNNNNNNNNNNNNNNNNNNNNNNNNNNNNNNNNNNNNNNNNNNNNNNNNNNNNNNNNNNNNNNNNNNNUCUCUCUCUCUCACUCACUCUCUCUCUCUCUCUCUCUCUCUCUCUCUCACACACACACACACACACACAUUGUAGACAGACACUUCUACACACGAUCCUUGUUAGCUGGCAAAGUUUUUAACACUUCAUUUUCUUCUUAAUUUUAAUUAUGCCUGUAGAUUUGUAGUGAAGAGUAUGACAAGGCUACAUGCAUAUUCUUAGGCGUACAAACAGAGAUGUCGGUGAUUUUGUUGGACCUUACCAUGGUAAUUUCUCUUUCCUCGUCAGUGAUUAUCGGUAGUAUCAUUGCUGAAACAAAGUUGUAUACUCGUGUUUUAUGGUUGCUCUGUUUUUUAGAUCCUCGGUAUCGCACAUGGACUUAAUCUUCUGUUUGGGUGGGACUUGUUCACUUGUGUGUUUUUGACUGCUGCUAAUGCUGUUUUAUACCCUCUUUUUUCCACCCUCCUGGUAAGUAUCAGAACUUGCUUUCUUGUUUUACAUUACGAUUGUUUGCAUUAUUCGUUACAAAAUAAUUAACUCUCCUAUUGCAGGACACUUGCAAGGCGAAAUUCCUAUGUGUGUGCAUAUACGUUGCAGGAUUCAUACUGCUUUCCUUUGUUCUUGGAGUAUUCAUCAGUCAACCGCAAAUGCCACUUUCCAUGACUGGGAUGCUAACAAAAUUGAGUGGGGAAAGUGCUUUUUCACUGAUCGAGUCUUCUUGGAGCUAGUAUUAUNNNNNNNNNNNNNNNNNNNNUUUUUCUUGUUGCAUACUGUGUCUUUACGUCUUUUGGUUCACACAAUUUUUCAUUGCAAAAUGAGUUCAUUCAGGGAAGUCUGUUUAAUAAAUUUCCGUAAAAUGACUUCUAUUUGUUGGAAGCCUCAUAAAUUAUAUCAGUUGACUUAUUCAGUGCACUUCAUUGAGAAAGGCAGAUGUUUCCAUUUUCAAUAGUCAGUGCACUUCAAUAGAGGCAAUUGAGCCACACAAGCACAAAUCUUCUUCCUUUCUGUCUAGAGAAAAGAAAAGGUUCCACACUUCCACUUAUAAGAGAAUAUGAGAUUAUCUUGGUAGAGGUAUUGGGUGUAAAAAUAAACACUUAAAAGACAUGAGUAUCAAACUAUCCCUGUUGCACGACGAAGUUCUGUUACCACCUCACACUUCUUGUUUUUUUUUUGAACUAAACAUGUUUACGUAUAGCUGAUUUUGGUGAUGGUCAUUUCUCUCAACUUUCAUUUAUUUUAAUUCUGCAGCAGCAUCAGCAACAACAAACUGUUUCUAAGGAUACUUUGUGUCAGAACCAUUUUGUCGCCAUCUUCUGCAUGUUUAAUGGUAUUUAUUUGGUGAAUUAUGUUCUGAUGACCUUAGCAGCAAAUGCAUUCUACACUUCACGUGGUCUUCUUACUUUUCAGGAUGCAAUGUCCCUUAUUGAACAGGUUUUAAUUUCUCUCCAUGAUCACAUGCUUUUGAUGAUUUUUGUUUACGGUACUCGACUAAUCGUUCAGUACCAUGCUGGACACUCAAAUUUAAGUGCUUUUAAAUUAUGCAGGUCUUUUGGGGUCCAAUAGUUCCUGUUGCCUUCUUGCUGGUUCUCUUUUUAUCAAAUCAAAUCACAACAUUAAGCUGGAGUCUGGGUGGACAAGUAGUCUUGAAUGACUUCUUAAAACUGGACCUUCCUGGUUGGCUUCACUGUGCUACAAUCAGAAUCAUUGCUGUUGUUCCUGCUCUGUAUUUUGUUUGGAGCUCAGGAGCUGAGGGGAUGUAUCAACUGCUUGUAUCUACACAGGUGUUGGCAGCCCUGCUACUGCCAUCUUCUGUGAUCCCUCUUUUUCGUGUUGCUGCUUCAAGACAAUUAAUGGGAGCCCAUAAGAUUUCUCAGUUCGUUGAAUUUUCAGCCCUCAUUACACUUAUUGGGAUGCUUGGAUUAAAAGUUGUCUUUGUAGUGGAGAUGAUUUUUGGGAAUAGUGAUUGGGUGGAUAAUUUGAGAUGGGAUGCUGGGAGUAGUAUGUCUGUACUUCUCAUCACUGCUUCUGCAUCAUUUUGCCUGAUGAUUUGGUUGGCAGCCACACCGUUAAAAUCUGCAAGUGCUCGAAUAGAGAACCAGGUGUGGAACUGGGAUAUGCCUAAGGGUGUCUCGGAGCCAUUUAGAAAUAAGGAGACUGAUAUAGCCGAACAUAACUAUCAUAGAGAUGCAGAUAUACAGAAGCAUGAACCAUCACCAUCAUCUGGGGACGCAUUGGAUAGAGAAUUAGAUACAGCCGUUGCAAAUUUUGAUUUUGUUCUGCCUGAAACUCUCUUGGAGCCUGAUCAGGAGCUUCAACUAUCUGGUGUAGAGGAAAAUAGUUCUCUUGGUACCUUUCCUCACUCUGCCAAAUGCAGCAAGGAGGAACCCACACCUGUAGUAGAAUUAACUCGCGUCCCAACUGUGGCUAAUGAGGUUUCUGAUGUUACAGUACUGGGCACCGAUACUGUGAAAUUUGAAUCAACAGAGCAAGUUGAGAAGACUCUUGCAACUGAAGGAGACUUGCCAACUGAAAAAGAUGAUGAUGAGGGAGAUACCUGGGAACCAGAAGAUUCCUUGAAAGAGGCUUCAGAGAGCACCACGUUAACAUCUGAGGGUCCAGGAUCAUUCAGGAGUCUCAGCGCAAAAGGUGACGAAGGGGGGAGCGGUGCUGGAAGCCUCUCAAGACUAGCAGGGUUGGGCCGUGCUGCUAGACGUCAACUAGCUGCUGCACUCGAUGAGUUUUGGGGACAACUGUAUGAUUUCCAUGGGAAUGUAAUUAAAGAAGCAAGAACAAAGAAACUGGAUCUGUUGUUGGGGUCAGAUUCAAAGGCUUCUUCUGCUGCUUCCUCUGCUUCUUCCUUGCUGAAAGAUGAUACCACUGCAAAAGAAGUUUCUGGAUGCUUUCCAUCUGUAGGAGGCAAAGGAUCUGAUCCUUUAAUCAACUUGAGUUUAUAUGACUCUGUAAAUCAGCAGAGGCUGCAAAACAGUAUAGAGUCAGCAUAUGGCGCUCAAAGGGGAUCUUCCUUGUUAUGGCCCGGCCACAUGCACUUGCUGGAUGCGUAUGUCCAAAAUUCAAGCCGCAGUGUUAUUGACUUGGGUGAGAGGCGCUAUUCAAGUGUGCACAGUAUACCAUCUUCUGACUUGGGUGAGAGGCGCUAUUCCAGUGUGCGCAGUAUACCAUCUUCUGACUUGGGUGAGCGGCGCUAUUCAAGUGUGCGCAGUAUACCAACUUCUGACUUGGGUGAGAGGCGCUAUUCAAGUGUGCGGAGCAUACCAUCUGCUGAGAGCUGGGAUUACCAGCCAGCCACAGUACAUGGUUAUCAGAUGCCAUCGUAUCUUAACCGUAAUGACAGAAGUUCCAGUAACUUGAAUGGUCAAAUAGAGUCACCAGCCCUAAAUUCUGCUUCUUCAUUGGGUGCUGGAAACUACAGAGAUUCACUUGCAUUUACCAUGGGGCAGAAGUUGCAAAAUGGGUUAGGCUCUGUUCAGGCUUCCAGUUUUCAGAACCUUACAGUAUCUCGACAAAGUCCAUUGCAAUCUGAUAGACCAUAUUAUGAUGUACCCUCCUCUGGAAUUUCGGAGAAUGCGGUAAACUCAGCCAAUGCAAAGAAAUACCACAGUCUACCUGACAUUAACCGUGAUCUCUACAACUCUAGUAAAAGUGCUCCACGGGAUCCUCCUCCUGGGUUUGGGAUAAUGGGUUAUGAAUCAUCCUUGUAUCCAAAAUCUGGUGUAAGGGGGGGAGGUUCUUUGGCAUUUGAUGAAGUCUCUCCAUCUAAUGUCUAUAAAGAUGUUCGAUCAUCCCAACCGAAUUCUAAUUAUGGCACUGGAUCCCUCUGGUCUAGACAGCCUUUUGAGCAAUUUGGUGUAGCUGAUAAUAAUCGUUCUAUCGGGACUGCAGUUGGUAGUAGAGCAGGUUCUGCAGGUAUGGAAGCUACAUCAGUUGCAGAUUCAGAGGCAAAGCUUCUUCAGUCUUUUAGACACUGCAUUGUGAAGCUUUUGAAGUUGGAAGGGUCUGACUGGUUGUUUAGACAGAAUGACGGAGUGGAUGAGGAUCUAAUAGAUCGUGUGGCUGCCAGGGAGAAAAUUCUUUAUGAUGCUGAAACAAGAGAGAUUAAUCGAACAGUUCACAUGGGUGAAUCUCCAUACCCUUCUUCUGACAGGAAGUCUGCUUCUGCAAAAAUGAAUGAUGUGAAUCUCACCCAUCUCAUGGUUUCCUCGGUUCCUAAUUGUGGGGAAGGUUGUAUUUGGAGAUCUGAUCUAAUAAUAAGCUUUGGGGUCUGGUGUAUUCAUCGGAUUCUUGAUUUGUCCCUUAUGGAAAGCCGGCCAGAGCUUUGGGGGAAAUAUACAUAUGUUCUGAAUCGACUUCAGGUAAACUCUAAAGCCUUCUUCUUACUUAUGAUUCCAAUUUUUGCAAGUUGAGUAUGGUUUCUACAUAAGUUUAUUGUCUCGGUCUAGACUUAUCAACCAAUCAGAAUAAGGUUAGGAGUAGCGGUCAUGCCAACUUGAGUUUGACAAGGUAACAUCUGCAUUGGAUCCUUGAUUUAACUGUUGUGGAAAUUUGGUGGCAUUUAUUUUACUAAUCUUUUAUGAGUAAUACUCCUUCAGAAUUUAGAAUUGUCUAGAAACAAAGUUAGAUGAAAAGAGACAGGAAAGGAGAAGAAGAAAGGAGAAUAGGAAAUUGUCUAUGAUUUUGUUCUUUACAGUUGUUGGUAUCGUCUUAACAAUAGUCAUGUAUUAAGUCCCAUUGAUAGUGGCCAGUCCAACUCAGAUGAGGACCAGAUAUAACAAAAUCACCCCGAUGAAUAGAUUCCUAGAAAUUCCUUAAUAUAAAGUACUAAAUUGAGUCUAACACUCCCCCUGGACAUAAAUGUUGUUGAAGGUAAAGUGUAACCUUUCAACUUCUUAUUAGGCUUGCUGUCGUAGCUCCUUGAAUUGCAGUCUGCUACCAUAGUAUACAACUAGAUCUCCUUACUAUAUUUGUUUGUAUUUGUAUUUGCAAAGCUUGUCUUCCAAUGAUGUUUAUGACCGGUCUAUCUUUGUAAUACAGGGCAUUAUUGAUGCUGCGUUCUCUAAGCCUCGUACUCCAAUGUCUCCAUGCUUCUGCCUUCAAAUUGCAGCAGCCCAGCAGCAGAAGUCUAGUCCAACAUUUUCGAAUGGAAUGUUACCCCCUGCUGCAAAACCAGCCAGGGGAAAAUGCACGACAGCUGUAACGCUCCUGGACAUAAUCAAGGAUGUGGAGAUUGCAAUUUCAUGCCGAAAGGGCCGGACGGGCACAGCAGCUGGUGAUGUGGCUUUUCCAAAGGGAAAAGAAAACCUGGCCUCUGUCCUCAAACGCUACAAGAGGCGGCUUUCCAAUAAACCUGUUGGCACUAACGAGGGGCCUUCUGGUUCACGCAAGGGUACUGCAACAUCUGCUCCUUAUGCGUCAUAGCCUUCAAAAUUGCCUGAUCAAAUCAAAUUCUCUCGUUGUAUCAAAGCCAUAGCUGCAAAAUUGUAUUUCCUUGUAUGUCAACGUAUACAUAGGGUAAGAACUGCUGAAUCUGUAAUUGCAGCAUCAUCAAAGAAAUUGGAUAGGUCAACAAAUUGGUUAUUGCAAAUUUUUGUUUUGCUUGCUUCUAUUACUUGUUACAAUAAAAUGGAAAGUUUAAAACUGAUGGGGGAUGAUGGGGCUCCCAAUCCUAGCCUUGAGUAUGCCCUUUUAGAAAUUUGGACUGUUAAAACUAUAAACAACUUUCUCUGUGUCAAAACAUAUCCCACUGUUAGGUUCAUAGGAUCUCAAUCAAGUUUAACUCAGUGUCACCUUAAGCCUUAAGUGGUGGGAAAUAUUUGUAUGUACCAAUGUACCAUAACAGAUAUUAUGAAAACUGAUAAUUGACGCUGGGAUUAAAGAAAAGCUUAAACAGUUGGGAGCAGGUUGAUUUAUAUGGGGAAUGGACAAAAUUACAAAUGCUGGUGGAGCACGUAAAGUAAGAUAAGACAUCAUCAAAUAGUGCUCGGUGGGUGGAUAAUAACAUCAGUAACACUCCAUCAAGUGAAAACAGUCACAAAUAAUGACAAUAUAUUGACUAAACAAUCAAUAACAUUUGAGUGAACCAAAAGACGAAUCAAGCCGCAAAGAAGAAACCUAGAAAUGGUUCAGAAGACAAUUCUUACUUCAUACCGGUUAACAAUCAGUCUCACAUUUACAUUUUAAAUGUCUUGGUAAGAUACUUCCGAUUAAAUUGUAAGUUCAAUUUGAUGAAAUGAAGUAUACAACAACUGCAUUGUGAGAUUUUUUUUUAAUGCUGAUGCUCUUAUUGCAUAUGUUUUCUUAUUUCUCGAUGUACAUCGUCUCUUUGUAUUUUUUUGAUUAUAAGUUUUGAUUAUAAUAGAAUGAUGACAUUUUCCAUAAAAAAUAAAAAAAAACACAUCAACGAGUCUAUUAUGAGCAUAUUAUCACUACAAUAAAUAGAAAUAGGUAGUUUGUGAGAUUGUUUUUUUAUCAAACAAAUAACUGAAUGUUAUAACGAGUCUAUCGACUCACGACCUCCACUUACAUAGGGAAACAUAUGCCACUAUACCAAAUAAACUAGGCACUUUGUGAGACUUUUAGUUUAAUUUUUAUGCAUAUUUAUCUAUUUUAUUGCCAAUAAUUUCUAAAUUUAAUUUGGUAGCAAGUAGUAACUCAAUUUGUGGAGCUAAGAAAUAAUUUUGGACCUAAGAAUGGACUCGUCAUUCACAAGUGACCAAUAAAAUAGUAACAAGUAUUUAGCAUCCAAGGUCAUAGCGUGGCCAUGUGGACAGUUUAUAGGCCUUCUCAUCAUUACAUUUUAUCGUCUCCGACAUUUCUCUCCAGAUUAGACUCUGCUCUCUCUUGUACUCUACAGCUGAGCUGUACUUGCUUCGUUUGGAAAACAAAGGCACUCCCAAGACCAAGAGGUAACCAAGUAUUAGCUCGAUCGUAUUUAUUUCUCAGUUUGAUGGAUUAGUUAGAUAUACAAUACCUACUUGAUUUUCUUUUUCAUUAGCUUGAUUACAAACAUGGAUCCAUGGUUUGUUUGUUAGCCUGAAAAUCAGAGUUGGAAAAUGGGAUUUGUAAUGGUGAUAUCGUUGCCGGUGAUACUGUUCAUCUUGAUCGUAGCUCUUGCCUUUUACCUUCUUGGCAGGGCAGAUGGCCGGAGAGAAGCAGUUCUUGUUGGACCUCCGGUUCCGGCGCCUCCGUUCCAACCCCAGGAGAAGCCAUCCGAGCAGGUCUAGGGUAUCAAUCAAUAUCCUUUGGAAUGAAUUGUUAAUUUCUCUGUUGUAGACUUGCAGUAAAUACCUAGUUCAGUCCCUUGCUUGUUAUAUAUAUUUCAUCAAGAUGAAUAGAUGAUGUGCAAACUGCAAAUUAAGUGGUUGUGUACUUUCUGUUCAAGUAUGAUAUUAAAUCUAAUUGUUUAGGGAUAUGAAUCAUAUGAUCAUAUGAACAAGAAUGAAGCUUGUUUCAUUUUAUUUGCCGUUACUCUCCAUGAAUUGAGACAAUGCGGUUGAAACAUCGGUAUUUUUUUUUUUUUUUUUUUUUUUUUUUUUUAACAAUCAAUCACUGAUAGUCAAUAAUUUUCGAACCAGAGUGACUUGUAUAUAACAUUCCGCUGUCAUUGGUUUUGGGGUCGAUUCUGUAAAAGAUGAAAUCAGUAAAUGGACCACGAUGAUACAUAGGGGUAGACCACUCAUAAAUAUCUAAUGUUCAUUUCAAAGCAAGCUUAUAAUCUAGUUAUGAAAAUGCAUAUCAAAUCAACAACCUAGCUAGGAAUCUAUUAUCUAGUCGAAUUAGGAAUGUGUAUCGUCCCUCCAGGAAUUACUUAUUAGAUUACAUAUAGGAGUCUCUAAACAACAGUUGAAAAUUAUUGAAAUAAAGAGCUACUAAACAUUCUACAAGCUUAGGGGAAAAAAUCCCUGGCCCAUAUCACCAAGCUCAAAGGGCCAAAGGACUGGACAAUACAGCAUAGCAUAAUACAUGUGCCCUUUGUUAAAAGAUGAGAAAGAUGGAAUCCGGUUUAGGGUUUAAGAGAGGAAAAGGAAGGUGGUGGAGUCAUGGCGGGCAUUGGUAAAUUGUUUUUGCCGGAAGAUAUCGUGGUGCAAAUCCUGAUACGACUGCCUCCUAAAUCUUUGAUGCGAUUCCAGUGCACCUGCAAGGUGUGGAAGGAACUGAUCAGCAGUACAAGCUUCAUCGCCAAACACCUUUACAUGUCUAGGCACAGCAAACUCGCCUCCUCUCCUCCCAUCCUUUUCAAGCGUCAUUUUUCAGACGACUGCAAAAUCAACAUUCAGAAUGAAAUGGGUUAUCCCUUCUAUCACACGAUUCGCGAGGUUGAAACACGACUCUCAAUAUAUGAUGAUGAUCACCUUCAUUUACCUGUUCUUGAUGAUAUUGAUGUUCCCCUUCCUAAGGUUGACUGUGAAGAUAGUGAUCCGUUGACUGUGAAGAUUUCCGGUCAUUGUGAUGGGAUUGUUUGUCUACAAGUUUACCUUGGUAACUUUAUGAUCGCUGGUAAUGCCAUAUUAUGCAAUCCGGGACUCAACGACUUCAAGCUUCUUCCCAAGUCUUGUGUUCUUCCUGACCUCAAGGACGCUGAUCAGGUCUCAUGCUUUGACGCAACGUAUUGGACAGAUUGUUUGGGGUUCGGGUAUGAUUCAAAAGGUAACGAUUACAAAGUCGUUAGGGUUCUAAUUUAUAACGACUCUCAUAUCUACGAUUAUAGAGCAGAGGUAUACACCAUGCGUUCUAAUUCUUGGAGAGAGGUCGAUUUUGGUAGAGAAUUAUCUAUUGACGACACAAAUGAUAGCAAGUCUCAUUUCUUAUUGAACGGAACUUAUUAUUGGCUGCAAUGGUCUCCAGUCAUCCUUUCAUUCAAUAUGGCUGACGAGGUAUUUGAUGAGAUACCGCUUCCAGAUAUAUCAUAUGAUGAUGAUCUCCCACAUAUCAAUAUUAUGCUAAUUGCAGCGUGCAAAGAAUCCAUUGCUCUAUUCACAUUUCAUGAUGAUGAUCUUCGUCAUCGUCCUGUUAGAUCUUUUGAUAUGUGGCUACUGAACGACUUGAAUGGUGUCGAGAGACUAUGGACCAAACAGUUCACCAUUGAAUGCGCAGAACUCAUAUGCAGCCCAUUGAUAUUUCGGGAGAGUGACGAGCUUCUUAUUGUUGCAGCUGAUGGACGUCUAAUCUGCUAUAACACCAGCACCCGAACGUUCAAGGAUUUGCCUAUUACGCGACGCUGGUCAUGCGAAACAUACAGUCAAGCAGUUCUUUACGCAAGUAGUAUUGUUGGGGUCAAUGGAGGAAGUAAACUUGAAGGCAUAGAUCGUUCCGCUUUCUACAACGUUGCUCAAUAUGUAUUAUGCACAUGCACUUCGUAUCAUGGACGACUGAAUGAGAUAUCUACAAUAUGCGGUGGUAAGUGGUAAGCCGUGACCUGGUUAGUUAGGUAGCCUAAUUGAGAACAUUUGAAAUUAUGGCAUGGGUUCAAAUCUCAUCAUGAUAUGUACAAUAUGUCACGAUGAUGAACAUUAAGUGUACACAAUUUUUCAUCUAUCUGUUAUUGAAGGAGAUUCCCGCAGACUUGGGGUCAAGCAAUACCCUGCAAGCAGAAGCUAGACGAUAGGAUGCAGGUUAACAAAACAACUGUUGUUCAAGCAGCUACAAGUAUUCACUCAUUGAAGGAGAUUCGACUUUGAUCACAAGCCAUCUCGACUACAUCAGCAUCUCAACUUCCCCUCCCUGGAGAGUGGAGAAUGAAGACAAAUAUAGCUAAAAUAAGUUUCUCCCUAGGAUGAUGUUCCUUUUGGGUUUGAUGUUGAUUAGAUUUCCCUGUACUUUUUUUCUUCUAGAUCUCUUAAUGCAACUUUGUUUGUCUCCACAAGAAGAAAAAACAAAAACAGAUGCAACAUUAUUUCUUCCCCAAUGACGUUUCCUCUUUUCUUUUCUCAUCCUUUCUCGUAUGUAUGCAACUCCAAUCGGAUGUUUCUCUCUUACUAGUUUGUUUUCUCUAUAUAAAGACAUAACAUCUGAUCUUCAAUCAAUCAAUUCAUCAAUAUUAAUGAAACUCAUAAAUCGAGCUAAUUAAUUUUACAUCCCAAAACUUUUCAUAAAUCGAGCUGUUGAAUAUUCAUAAUUGAGCCUGUUUAUGGGUGUCAGUCGUGUCACUGAAACUCCAAAUUCUACGAAGGUUACUGCUAGCUCCAACUAUUGAGAAGACCACUGCACCAAUUGUUGUUGAGCAAGUCAUUGCUUCAAUAGUAUAGGAGGUAAAGCAAAACAUCCCAAGCCUGAGCUCUCAAAGUAAUAUUAAUGUCAAUAUUUCCAUUGGUAAUGGCUUUUAAGAUUCUUGCUAAAAUGCAGCACGGUGAGAGCAUUGUUGCAAAUGAGCAACAGACAGUUGGAGAGCGCAUCGAUACUUUGUUUGACGAUUAUCAGACCAAGUUAAGUUGGGGUGAAGAUCUUCGAAUUUUGUUCUAGAACUCCUCGGCUAUCUCUCAGGAGUUUGAUGCCUUUGUCAGGUAUAUAUGAGCCUCAUGGCUUGAUUGUUCCAAUUAAACCCCUUCGAAAAUAAGGAAAACAGUAAACAUUGACAUCAUAGUGCUUAGCAUCAUAAUCAUGUAACGCAUGCUAGUUAACAUGGAUGAUGGGUUAAUUAGAGCUGUAUCUCUUUGAUGAAAAUCUUUUGAAAAUAUCUCCAUUAGCUAGUCCAUCACAUCUGAGUGACAAAUCGUCCAGAUAUAUUGGUUACAUGUAUAUAUCUCCUUUCCAGUUUCAGCCCCUAUCAAUAUCUGUGGGCUUGCUGUAUAGCUAUCAACAACGUAUACACAUCGACGUUGAACAAAUUGAUCGAUCACAGCAGAGGCUUCUCUAAACCACAUAAUCGAAUUAAUUAGGUAUAGGAAGAACGGAUUGGACGAUCGAGUCUGUAGGGCGUAGUGUUUGGCCAAGUAGCUAAGACAAAAUAAAUGGGGUGAGGGAACUUGACCUGUGUUCUUGGUCUUGUUGAGAGCCAUAUCUGCAUCCAUCCAUGAAUAAUGUAAGGUGAAGAAACGAAAUAAGCUGCUAGCUUGCUAGCUUGACCCAACAGAUCAGACUGUUCUGUGUAACUAGUCACGUGCUAUCGACCCCCAAGACCUUGUUUGGUUUGCAAGUAAUGGUAGGCAAGGCUGCCAAACCACGUGACCCAUGCAUAUAUAGUCGACCUUGCAUGCAUGGCUUCCAAAUCUACCACUCCUUUCUCCUAGCUUUGGUCCUAGCUAUUUCCCAAUUCCUAAAUUCCUUUUGGCUAUUUCUCUCACUAUAUCCAGUUCGGUUCUUGUGUUCAUGGGGAAGAUAGCGAUCGAUGUGCGAGGCUCACACUAUGUAUUAAAACUAAAUAGAAAAAGGAGGGACUUCUUGCGGAAGUGGCGGAGCCAGGACUAAAUUGUUACCGGGGCUAAUUGUAACACUAAAAAAUUUUUAACGAAUUUUGACGUAUUGUGCGAGAAAUUUUUACAAAAAAUCUAACUAAAUCUUAUAAAACGAGACCGCAAAACUUCAAUCGUAUCAGGUUUGUAAGAUGCAACGGGAUUUGAGAGAUCUAUAGUUAACUUUUAUCAAACAUAAUAACUUUUAGUCAAACUCACACAUAAAUAUAAUAACAAAAAAGUUGUAUAUUUCAACUAUAGAUGUCUCUCUCUAUUCAUCUUCGUCUCUCUCUUCCCAAACAAUUCUCAGUCACCAUACUCAGAGUCUCUUCACUAGAGCCUUCAACCUUGUCUCUCAAAGACUCAAACACCAACUUACCCCAAAAUCUCAUCGAAACCCAAUCACCAUAACUCCAUAAGUAAUCCCAGCAGACUCAUUCUUUCUCUUUCUCUUCUGAGUGAUGGUGCUAGAGAGAGAAACUAAAUCAUGACUAGAUCCUUCACCAAUGAGCAAACCUAACCUGAUUAAUUCACCCAUUAUCAGCCACAGUUACCUACGGCUAUAGCUUCGUCUUGACGAUCCCGACCCGGUGACUUCAAACUUCAAUUUAUGAAACAGAAUUCAUAUUAUGUAUCUAGUAUGGAAUCUGCCAAAGAAUAAACAUUUUGCAUUUGAGCAUGGUGUAAAUUUUUUUCCAGGCUUUAGAUUCUCACCUAGGCUCCAGCCCAGUCUUGACUGAGUUGGCUCGGCCACUAGUCUCAUGAUCACAAAAGGUAUAGAGCUAGUGUUUAUGUGUAACCGGUUAAGCAUAAACACUAGCGCUCCAGAUAACAGUCAUUGCAGUAAUAAUGCUACUCUUGUCAGAUUUUGUAUACUCGAAUAAUGUACGAAGUGUAUAUACGACAUUUACAAAAUUCUUUUUUUUUUUUAAGGAAUUUAUAAAGAAUAUAUACAAAAUUAAUAGUUCAAUGAGAUUAAAACAUGGAACAUAUAUACCGUAUAUCAAUCGAGAAUUUUAUAAUAUGUCAACCUAUAUAUGUGACAAAAACAAUGAUCACAUUUUUGACUUAAUUUUUGAUGAGAACUUUAUUACCUUAUUAACAAUGAUAUUUCUUAGUUAUCACAUGAGUUAUGGAACAGAUAAGAAUCAUGUGCUAUCUACUUAGGUGGUAAAUAUAACAGGCAUGAGAAAUGUUAACAUCAGGUUUAAUUUUGUGCUCUUUUUUCUUCUUGAGGUAAUAUUAGCAUAUACCUUUAGAUUUUAAUAAUAUCAAUUUGACCGAUGAAAACAACUAAUAGUAUUAGCAGUGUAAACCAUUUUGUGUUCAUAUCAACUCGCAUGCGUAGACUACUUGGCGUCCAUAUCAUUCGAUGUAUGGUGGUAAGUAGAGUUUGUGGAAGAGAUGGUGUGAUGCAUGCUUUGUUAUGAGGUUGGUUUUGGUAGGUAGCUUUAUUUAUAACAUUAUGGAAAUAAUCCAGCUUGUUUAAUACAACUACUCAACUACGUAUUACUUACUAUUCAACUAUCCUGCUUAUUUAGUGAAAUCUGGAUAGCAAAUAUUCUGAAUGUGCAAUCUAUAAACUGUCUUGUUUAGUGGUGAUGGUCAUGUGACUGUUCGCGUUCAUGUUUCUUGGCGAAACAGUGGAAUAAUCCGGUAAUUAUUAGGAUACCUUACAUGAGUGUAUGUUACCUAAUCUAACUAACGCUAACACUCAAAAUCAAAAAAUAAAAAAUAAAAAAUAAAUAAAUAUCUGUAUGUACUUACACAAGUACUAGAUAAUACCAGAGCUCCACAACCACAAUGGAAAAGGUCAAUGCUAGUAAGGAGAUUUAGGCUUAUCCAAUAGGAAGAUGCAUAAACUCUAACACGUAUAUGUUCUAAAUUCCAUAUAUCCAUUUUCCAAAUCCUAAUGAGUUGCAGUUCAAAAAAGAAAAAGAAAAAACCCCAAUUAAGGUUGUAAUUAUAAAUCAAUCCGAACUUAUUACUCAUGAAUUGACAUUUGGGAGUAGGCCAUACUCUGAAGCUAAUAUCGGGAUCAUAUUCAUUAAGAAAGCUCCAAAAGAAUAAAUGGUUGUUGUAACCAAAAAAAUAAUAAAUGGUGGUGACUGAUCAAGCUAGCUUUAUUAAAUUUAUUUAUUCAGGGGUUUUUAUGAGAAAGUUUUUUUUUAAUUUUUUUAUGAGUUUUUAUGAGAAAGUUACAUUUAUCUUUAACAAUGCUAGUAUACGUAUUAUUCCUACUUAAAUGGAGUGGGGCAUUUUGGAUUGGGAAGCUAGGGACCGUGGAAUCAUAAUAAGGCCAAGGAAGCAAACCAUCAUUACAAAUGAUAAUCUCACAUAUAUACUCGAUGAAUAAACAUUUUUGAAACACGCCCUGGCCGAAGGAGUUGAUCGAUGCAUAUCAAAACGAUUAAAUUUGUGGUCACUGUACAAAAGAAACCGUAUAAUAUCGUUUGUCUUUUAUGGUAGCCUAUUGUCACGCCCCGCCAAGUUAACAAAGAGCUUUCUUGAGCGUUUUGAUGCAAGCAUAGCUCAAGGAAGGUUUUGGAGAGCACAUGAGCAUUCUGGAAGCAUCCGGAACAUUAUGGAAGGUCCUGGAAGCAUCCGGAAUAUUAUGGAAGGUCUUGGAAGCUUCCGGAAGGAUCGGGAAGCAUGCGGACAACUCUAGAACUCUCUAGAAUCUUAGAGAGUCUCUAGGACACUCCGGAACACUCUAGAACCCUAGAGAGGCUAAAUGCUCAAGGCUACUCCGGAAGUUGUUAGAAUACUUAAGGCAACACUUAGAGUUGUAUAGAAAACUCUAGAAACCUCUAUACUUGUAAAUGUCCUAGAACUAUCUAGAACCUUAGGCAAUGAGGGAUGAUGCCUAUAAAUAGGAAGACACCCCUCUCAUUUGAGGCAUAGAGAGUUGGAUAGCAUUCAAGCUCACUUGUAAAGCUUUGUAAAGUUCUCUUAAAGCUUAAUACAAGUUCUCUCUUUCAAAGAUCUUCUCCCUUCAUUCGGGUGUUCUAGCCAAAGUGUUUGCGUGAGUAAGGCUGACUUAGCAUAAGGGAAGUGCUAAGGCCGCACGAGUAACUUAGGAAAAAGGAAGCUCGUGACACUAUUCUCUACAAAUAUUUGCAUAACCCUAAUACUAUUCAUUAAAGGCUUGGUCGACGAGUGCUUGAAUGGAGGCCAAAAGGAAAGGGAAAGGGAUGAUCGAUUUGUUGAAGGCUUGAAUCUAGGGGUGGGCAUGGGACAUGUUGGGACGAGAUUAGGGUCAUCCCACGGCUCAUCCCGGACAUUGCACACAUGACGGGAUUGGGACGGGCCUUACGUUUUUAAGACUUUAUCCCACGCAAGUCCCGUCCCAGACGGGACCGGGACAGGACGGGCCCAAUCCCGCCAUCCCGCCCCAGUAUUACCUGAUAAUGAUACCAAUAUAUUCCUACAAUAUAUAAAGACUGCAUCAUCUGAAUCCAUAAUUCAUAACUACAAUAAAACUAGAGUAACAUCAAUAAUCCACAAUUACUCAAGUUCACACAUCAUAAAAUUCAAAAGAAAACAGGAAAGUAGUGAAUCUGAUAGCACAAGCUCCAAGCUGCUCCAAAUACAAACAAUUUCAACUAUAAUCAUCGAUGACAAUACCGGUUGCAACAUACUUCUCUUUCCCUUUCACUGUUGCAGUUGGAGGUGGACAAUUGUUCUUGCUUGAAGCAGUGCUCUCAUGCUUUGCAAAAAUGAAAAAAAGUUAGUCCAUGCACCUGAAAAUAACCAAAAAGUAUAAACACAUCAAAAUUCAUACCUCGCUCAACAUUGUAAUAAAACUCUGUGUUUUCAAUUAUUGGUUCAUCAAUAUCUUCGACAACCUCUGCAAUAUCAUCACCUAACAUCCAGUUUUGCAUGCAAAUGAGUCUCUCCACUGAUUUAGGAGUUAAUGAUCUCCUAAAACAAUCAAUAGCUUUGUCCCCUGUUGAGCAGCAUGACUCAGAGGCCACUGUUGAGAUCUGAAUUGCAAGAACAUCUCUUGCAAUUGCUACUAAGACUGGAAACUUGCAUCCAUUAACCUUCCACCAACACAGGAUGUCAAAUUGAUCUUCUUCAUCGGUUGGAUCUAAUGCAGCAUCCAAGUAUUGAUCAAUUUCAUGAACUGCGACUGCCUCUUCAUUUUCUUGCACAACCUUCUUCCAAUUACUAAGACGUUAGCCCCUAUGGCCACGGUUAGUGCUGCUUCUACUUGUGAUAAUGCUAGAUGAAGAGGUUGGAGAUUACGGCCUCUGCAUGUGUAUACCUACAUCUACAUGAACCACAUACUAAGAAAAAAAAAUGCAGAAACUGAAAAUCAAAUAUAUACAAAAUGGAAACAUGUCACUUAGAAAAGAGUUGUCUUAUGCUAGAAACAGGUUACUUAGAAACAUAUAUAUACAAACACUAGAAAUAUACAACCUAACAACAAAUGCAACAGUAAUAGAUUGGAUAUAUGCAAUCAAAAAAAUAUCAGAAAAGGUGUAAACUGUAAAAUACCUGAUCAUAGAGAGCCAUAAGCAGGUCUUUAAUCACCUUUGUUCUCCUCUCCACCUCAUCAACAUCCAGAUUCUGUUCAUUAUACAUAUGAGUCACAUUCUUCAACUUAAAUCUUGCAUCCAAAACUAGUCCAAUGAUCAAUAUGUUGUUAAGGUCCCCAAAAGAGCCAAAAUACUUCAUCCAUCUGCUUCUCAUAUUGCCUGCCAUAUCUUGCAAUGUCUUUUCAGUUUCUGAUCCAGUUGUCAUCUCCGACGCCACAAACAAGCUAUUUAUGUUGUUUUCCAUAUCAAUCACAUCAACAAAAACAGUGUGCAGAGUAGGGUGCAAUGAUGCACUAUUCCUUAGAGUCACUCCCCAAAAAACUCUUAACAUAUCGACAAACACACUAGUCUUCAACCAAUCUCCUUCUUCUGGAGGUCCUACCCUUGCUCUCUUUCUGCGACUUAUCAACAUCACGUGGAAAAUACCUAUAGUUUUGGUUGAUGUGCCUAAGCAAUCCAGAGGUGCCACUCUUACUCUUAACAGAAAAGUCCCCAAUCUUACCCUUAGGACAGUAGAUGCAAUGAGCCCUUUUAUGAACUAUCUCAAUUAUCUUCCCCUCAGCAUCUUUCACUCUAUCAAUUUUCUCAUACUCUUUGAAAUACUCCCAAACAUGACUAGUAUGCUUCGUACCUGAUUGAGCAAGACCAUCACCAUCCUCACUACAAAUGCAGCAGCAGAAGCCACACCACCCUCGCCUACAGAUGCAGCAACUUGACCAACUUCAAUCCCGGGUUCACUUGAACUUGGGUUUGUAGCUUUGAGCAGAGGGACUGAUGUAACUGGAGGAGAUGGUGAUGCUACUGAUGUCGUCGUUGACGAAUUCUGAAGGCCAGAAGCAGAACGGUUGGGUCGCACAAUUACUUUCUUUCCUCUCGCCAUCGUUUUCGAGUAAUUCCCCCUGCAUUCAGCCAUUCAUAAUAAACUUAUUCAACUUUAUAGAUAAUCAAGUAAGAAAGUGAAGCUUCUUUGAAUACACACAUAUAGAUAAUCACAUAUGCAGUAACCACAUCCAAUACAUCAAAUUUUGAUACAUUAACCACAUCCACAUAUGCAGUAACCACAUCCAAUACACACAUGUAGAUAAUCAAUUAUUCUAUUAACCACAUCCAAUACAUCAAAUUUUGAUACAUUAACCAAAUCCACAUAUGCAGUAAUCACAUCCAAUACACACAUGUAGAUAAUUACUUAUUCUAUGAUACAUUAACCACAUCCAAUACAUCAAAUUUUGACAAUCAUAUACUAACUAAUUCAUGAUCAGUUUUACUAACAUCAAAUUUCCUAAUGUUACCUUUAACAUUAGAUCAGUUUUAUACAAUCAUAGACUAACUAAUUCAUGAUCAUGGUAAGCACAAUAAUACUUUUAGUAAACGCAAUAGAUAAUCACAUGAAUCUAUAGAUAAUCACAUAUGCAGCAGCAACAACUAAUUACCAGUAGCUCACCUUUACACAACACCUAUAGAAUUCAUGGGAAGAGUAAACAACGUUACAUGACAUGGUUCAUUACCUUGCACCUUGCUCAGAUUCUUGAUUUUUAUCGAUGAUGGUUAUAACGAAUUGGAUGAUGCUGCUGUUUCUUUAUCUGUCCAGAGUAGCACAUAUGAGAUCAAUAAGAUUACAGUAUUAAACCCCAGCUAUCAAGAUAAACCAGUUCCAGAGUAGCACAUACACACCUUAGCAGCAUGAGGGAGGAGGAAGGCGAGGCGAGGAGGAGGCGGGCGCCAAGGUGAGGAGGAGGCCGGCGGUGAGGUUAGCGGAGGCAGUGGAGGAGUUCAAGGAGGACUGGCAGAGGCGGUUUGGCUGGAUUGGGAUUUCAAGCAUCAUCGAUUGAGGUUUGGCUGGAGGGUUGAGAGUGACUUCCCUUUUAGAAGUUUAGGGUUCUUGCGAUGAAACUGAAAGACAGAGAGUGAAAGACUGCAACCAUAGUGAGAUGAGUUAGUAUUAGGGUUCAAAAAUGUAAGGUUGAGAUCAAAACAUCUAAAAAACUAAUGGCUUAGAUUAGUCUAUAUUUUCACACGGGACGGGACGGGUCUGACGGGCCUCAACUUUUCAGUCCCGCGUCCCGUCCCGUUGUUUCUCUACGGGACGGGACAAGACGGGCCUUAUGUUUUUAGAAUUAUAUCCCGUCCCAUCCCGUCAAAUUUCUGGAUGGGAUCGGGAUGGGACCGGGAUUUAGGUUUUUUAUGCCCACCCCUACUUGAAUUGAAUACUUGAAGGGAAUUAGUAUGUAGUCUUGCAUGAUAUUAGAUAGAACUGUUAGCAUGCCCGUACCUAAGGUGACGCUGAAGAGGCAGCCGCCUCAAGCAUCAAAACUUUGGGGGCAUCAAAUUCUUCUUUUUCUAUAUGUGUGUGUGUAUAUAUUUUCACAUAAACCUUAAACUUUUCGUUUCUUUCUCAGUUUCUUGUGUUCUUUCUACUGAGUCAUCUAAUUGUCUGGAGCUAAUUUUUUUUUGUCUAUAGUUACGUCAUUUUAUCCAAUUAUUCAUAGCUACAAAGUCUGAGGGGAUGCCAAAUUUUUUAUGGCCGAUGACCGUUGUUUUUUCCUCCUCGUAUUGAUACGGGUGUAUUUUAGUCUUUUAGGAAUUAGCCGAUUCCUUCUCCAAGUUAGUUAAGGAAAUAGCUUUUCUAGCUUGUUAGGGAAUAGUUUUUCAACUUAGUUUGGGAUUAGUUGUCUAACUUAGUUAGGGAGUACUCUCCAAGUUAGAUAAAGAUUUAUAGAGAUUUAGACUCUAUAAAUAUAGGUGUCUAGCUUAGUUCUAGAGACCAGAGGGUGAAACAGAGACAACAUCUGUUUACAUCAGAGAGCGAAAUAGUUAGAGAGAUAUCUGUUUAGAGUGUUAUUGUGAGAGAAGACAUUAGACAAUAAUCAUUGUACCAUUUUGCACAAUAAUAAGAGAAUGAUAUAAUUUUCUUCGAACUACAUUGCUUGUGUAUUGUAGUAUUGCUAGCAAUUCUGCUGUUAGCAGUAUCACCUGAGUAAUUCGUAUCACGUAUGAUCAUAGGACAUUAUUCUUAGAACUCGCCUCAAGUCUUCAAAUCUCAAGUCCGGUCGUCUGUUAGAUGUCAAUCUGUCAUGGAUUAUUAAAAACAAAGUGUUGAAAACUAAAAAACAACAAGAAAGAUAUCUUAAAACGUUUGAAGACUAGAUUGUGUUUGUAUUGAUGGUAAAUGUAGUUACAAUGAUAGAUGUAGAAUGAUAUGAUUGCGAGAAGGUAAAUUGAGUCAAAACCCUAGUAUAUAUAUCAUGUAUGACUUCACCGGCCUUUAACAUUCUCCACCAACGUAAGCGCACGCUAGCUUAAAGCAAGAAAACGAUUAAAGGAUUAGUGGAGGGUUGGUGGCAUGCUGUAGUGAGCAGCCUAUUAGCUUGAUAAGGAAAAAGGAAAAAAGAACCACAGCCAUCACAAGUAGACUCGUAAAUAGACCGGAUCUUAAUCCGGACCCACUCCGGAUCCAUGGUUUUUAAACGGGUUUGGAUCGAAAAUUAGACCCGUUAAUCCGUUAAGGACCCGGAUCCGUUUACCCGUUUAUUAAACGGAUCGGAUACGGAUCGAGGUUGAUCCGAUCCGUUAAGGAGCUGGAUCCGUUUAAAAAUAAUUAAAUAAUAUUUUUAUAAAUAAAAUAUUAUUGAUAAAUAUUAAAUAAUAUAAUAAUUAUUUGGAUAACCUAAACGUCUAAAUUGCGUCUAAAGUAUGAUCAUUUGAUGAAGUUGAAGGUUACGAUGCCUAUGUUUUUUUUAUGCUCUUUGCUAAAUACAUUGGAGGUUUAGUAUUUUGAAUAUAUUAGUUUAUUGUUAAGAAGUAUUUUGGCCAUGUAAUUCAACUUUUGAUGUAAACAUUUAUUUUGUUAUAAUAUUUUAUUAGUGUUUUAUGAAAAUUUAUGAUAAAAUUAAGAAAUUAUUAUUUAAAAUUUGAAAAUAUUUAUAAUCAUAAACGGAUCGGAUUAACGGGUCGGGUAUCCGUUAACCCGCCGGAUCCGGAUUUGAAUCUAGCUAUCAAAGAUCCAGCGGGUAACGGGUCGGAUCCGGAUCCAAAAUUUCUAUUACGGAUCCGGAUUCGGAUCUAGGUAGAUCCGCUCCAGAUCUGGUCCAUUUACAGGUCUAAUCACAAGUCUUAAACGUUAACGCAAAUUAGAACCUCUCUAUUGAUACCCAUGUCUUAUAGGGACGAAACCCACAACUGUUAAGUACAUCUCAUCAACAAGAAAUGAUUUCAUUUACCUUCACGAAACACCCUUGUAUCAGUUGUAUGUCUCUUUCUUAUUGUUUUAGCUUGGGAAUAAUAAUUCAUAGAGUCUGAGUCUUGCUAAAAUAUCAUUCACUCACAGAUUGAAAUCUCAAAUUAAAUAGAUAAUCGUAAACAGAUAAGGUUGUAUAAAUAAAAUAGAAAAUGACAUUUUAUUACCAUAGACAGUUGCAAAAUACAGAAAAACCAUUUUUCAACAGAUUUAAACAAAUAAGGACAUAUACUCAGGCCCACAAUGCAUAGUACCACGCCCUGUCAGCAAUUUUUUACGCAAAAUACCCAAAAAACCAUUAUUUUCUGAAAUAUCUACAAAACUGUCACUGGCUCAAAAUACCACUUCUCUACCAUUUUCAGAUCUGCACCGAUUCUUCUUCUUCUUCUUCUCUUCCUCUUCCUCUUCCUCUUCUUCUUCGCCGGUCACCGCUCCGACCAAAUUGCUAGGAGGCGAGGAAUGGAGGAGGAGCCGAAUAAUGAAAGGAUGAAUGUUGACUAAGGCUUCGCUGAAUCCAACCAGAUCUGAUUUGAUUAUUCUUCGAUCUCUACAACUUGGUUUACUCAAAGAUUCUUUGGAAUUAAAACCCAUAUCUUUUGAAUUUGACAACAAAAAGUGAUCAUUUGUAGCUAAUCCGUGCUCAUGCUUCAUGCUACUGCUGCAUUCUGCUAUGUGCUGCUGCGUGCUGCUAUUGUAUGUUGCUGCUGCGUGUGAUGUUGGUGUGUGUUGUUGUGUGCUGCUACUGUGUGUGUUGAUGUUGUGUGUUGUUGUUGUUGUGUGUUGCUCCUGUGUGUGUUGAUGUUGUGUGUUGUUGUGUGCUGCUACUGUGUGCUGUUGUGUGCUGCUACUGUGUGCUGUUGUGUGCUGCUACUGUGUGCUGUUGUGUGCUGUUAUUGUGUGUGUUGAUGUUGUGUGUUGUUGUGUGCUGCUACCAAGCUUCUAAAAGGCCCAGCCUAUGACCGCCUAGUCCCCGCUUAGGCUCUAGGCUGCAACAAGCCGCCUCGCUUUUCUUUCAGGCCUUUGUGCCAGGCUGUGGGCGAUUAGGCGGCCGCCUAGCUCGCCUAAAUGCCGCCUAGCCUGCCUAAAUGCCGCCUAGCCCGUCUAGGCUGUUAAGCUCUACGGCUAUUUUUGUUUUCUUUUUGUGGUGGGAUUGUUAUAUUAUGGGGAGUAUGAGAGUAUAAGAGUUAAUUGUGUGUUUAAAAUUAGAAGUGUAUAUGUUUAUUGAUGUUGUUGCUCACUUUUACAGAAAGUUAUACUAAAUUUUAGUUAUAAUUUAUUUUAUAAAUGAGUAUGACUAGAUUAUGUUGAAUAAUUUAUCUAUAUUUGACCGUUUUCAAAUAUUAAAUUACAUAAAAUAUAUAUUUUUAAUUAAUAAAUCUUAAAAAUACAAAUCGCCUAGUCCCCGCCUAAUCCUCGCCUAGGCUGUCCAGGCUCUAGGCUGUGGGUUACCGCUCGCCUAGCGCCUUUUAGAACAUUGACUGCUACUAUGUGUAUUGUUGUGUGCUGCUACUGCGUGUGUUGUUGAUGUGUGUUAUUUUGUGCUACUACUGCAUGUUGUUACUGCGUGCUGCUACUGUGUGCUGCUUUGUGCGUGUGUUGUUGUGUGCUGCUACUGCGUGUUGUUGUGUGCUGUUACUGUGUGUGUUGUUGUGUGCUGCUACUACGUGCUGUUGUGUGUUGCUACUACGUGCUGUUGCUAUGUGUUGUUGUGUGCUGUUACUGCAUGCUGCUACUGCAUACUGCUACUACACUAAGUUAUUAAAAACCUGCUACUGUAUUUCACUUAUUGAAAAAUCUCAAAAUGUGAGACUUUUCUCUUCAAAAAUCAUAUUUAAUUAGUAUAUGGUUAAUUUGGUAAAUUAAACCAUGACACAUGGCAUGCAGAGAAAAUAUUGUCCUUAAUUGUUAAAAACUGUCCUUAUUUGUUUAACAACACAAGUGGAUUUAUUUGUGUUUCAAAUCCUUUUGAAGGAUGGGAAAUUUUAAAUACACACCCCUAAUAUCUUAAUACACAUCCUUUACUUAAUACACCACUUAUCAAAUUUUUCAUUUCAAUAUUAUACUUAAUACACAUCCCAAACUGCCUAAAAUGCCCUUAAUUUAUGAAAUACUCCGUUAUUUAUAUAAUUAAUAUAUAUUUACUAUUUGGUACCUCUUUUGACAUAUUAUUUCGUCUAAUUUUUGCUAUCAUCGUUCAAUUUAUAAUCAAAUUAUAUUAUUGUUAUAUCCCAACUCCAAAUCACCAAUACAAGUUUUUAAAAAUUCACAAGCUAAUACAACUGUAGAAGUAUAGUAGCUAUUAAACAUAGAUAGCUAGUUAUUCAAUAAAACAUAUCAUGAUAAAAAUGCAGUAUUUGACAAUAUGAUCUACAAGAUUAAAUUAAAGCUGAUAAAGAUGCAGUAUUUGACAAUAUGAUCUGUAAGAUCAAACUAAAGCUAAUACGGAUACCAAAAAAAAGACAACCCAAAUGAAUUGUGGAGAAGAAUUGGGGUUAAGGAAGAAGACGUGCUUUCAACGAUUUUAGGGUAAAAGACGUUGGAAAGAAUACUUCAAGCGCGAUUUUUUUUUUUAAUAAUAGAUGUAUGUUUUGGUCAUUUAGCUUACCUAUAAAAUCUCAAUAAAAACAUAAAAUAAUAGGGGUGUGUAUUAAGAGAUUAGGGGUGUGUAUUUAAAAUUUCUCUUGAAUGAUGUAUAUGUGAUUUGCUAUAAAUAAAAUAAUAGUGUUACAACUUUCUCUAGUGUCAUUAUUGGUUCUCUUCUUUCGGAAAGCUUUUGCAUAUUUCAUUUCGCAAUGAGAUUCCGAGACCAAACGUACCAGAAACACUGUUUAUAUGUAUUAGUUUCUUAAUUACAUGAUUUUGGGCAUGCAUCAGCCAACCGUGUUUGUAUAUAAUUUGCUAGAAGUAGUCGGUGAGGGCCGGGGUUAGGUAUUUAUUUUGGCCUCACUUCAGCAAAUAGAAAAAAACAAAAAACUUGAUUGUUUAAUUUUAACGAACCAGCAGAAAGAAAUUAGUGGUGCGCUUGCAUGCAUGAUUAGAUUGGUGAAAUGUGAUCACCAACAACAUAUAAUUCCCAACCACAGUAUCAUUUGCUUAAUUUAUAACCAAAUCUAUUGCAAAGUGAAAGAUCGACUUGCAAGUCUAGUCUCCCGUAGAAAACAUUAUUUUGGCGUCUGCCUACACAUAUGUUGACCUACUACCCAAAUAGUAUUAACGAGUCAUAUAUGAUUCCUUAGACUUGACUUGAUGAGUUGGUUGGAAAAUGCAUUAAGAUAUAUCGCAGCAACAACCAUCCCCACUAAGGAAAGGAGUAGGAAUUUUGACCGAAAAUUCGUGAGAAAGAUUGAGGAAACUGGAAUUUUUGUUCAACGAUUAACUUUCUUUGUAAUUAUAACAUGUGACGCAAGACUAAAGCACCUGCAAAGACUAGCUUUUCAAAAUAGGAGUUUACUUUUGUAAUAUGCAUGACUCCAUCGAAAUCGAACUUAACCUUUUUUUUUUUUUUUUUUUUUUUUCCGGAUUAAAAAUUAAAGUAUCACAGAGAAAAACCUCCUAAUUGAUCAAACUGGAGGGCCGGAAAUCAAACAUGUGUGAUGAUUAAUUACAACAAGAUUACUAGUUAAGUAGCAGGAACAACAUGACAUGCAAUUUUAUUUGUAGAGUUCGAAGAUUCAAAGGUAAAUAGAUGAGAAUAUUAAUUGCUAGUGUGAGAUAGUUCAUGAUAACUCUGGGUUGAUGGGUUGCCAGCUCCUAAUCCAAAUACAUUUUGCCAUCAAAAAACAUUAGCAUUUUAAUAUAUAAAUAUAUUAAAAACUAACAACCAUUAGUUGUUGUCUUGUGAUCCAUGAUGCAUGCCUGAGUCUCAGUUUUUUCCAGCAACGUAACCAACAGGCAAGUGUGAACGCUUGGGAUGGUCCAAUUCUGUUAUGCCCCAGAGAACUUGCCAGUCCACUCAACAGAACUUGUUUUCUUUUAAAUCCUUCUACGCUGGAAUUGAAUUUCAAGAAGUCAUUCAUUUUCUCCUAGAGAUUGUUUUUUUGGACAAAUUGCCAGAUUGUUCGAAUUGCCAUGUUCCACAUAUUUAUUUGCAAAUUGCUAGUGAACAAACAAAAUAUAUUUUUUUAGUAGACAAAGCUAAUUUAUAGAAUUAAUUUUGUCUUCAGUACGGUUUACUUAGUUGACAAGCUUCCAUGUCUAAUUAAUUGGAUUUUUGGACCAGUUCUCUUCAAUGGCAGCCGAUUAACUGUUUUAUACUUUAUUUUAUGAAUGUGUAUUGGUGUAAAUAGCCUUUUAUGCCGAAACCAUUUCCUACCAAGAGCAGGAGUGACCUUUAUGUUCUAGAAUUGCCCAGAAUGCAUAUGAUAUAUGCAUGUGGUGAAGAACAUGAUGCCAAAGAAGCUAGGGUCAAAAACAUAAUGGAUGAAUAAAAGACUACGGGAGCUAAUAAUUCGGUUAUGUCUUAAAUUCAAAUUUAAUUCUACCUGUAAUUAAUGAAUCCUCGUUUAAUUUAUUAAGAAUUAUAAAGCUCAAGCUAGCUAGCACCAUUUAAAGAAAGCAAACUGGAUAUCGAUAUUCUGUUUUUUUUAAAUUUAUUUAUUUAUUUAUUUUUAAAUAAGGACUUGAAAGACAGUCUUCACGUCGUUACUAUUAGUGAAACCACAUAAUAUAAAAAUGAGACAUUAAACAUAAACACCAUAAUAUAAAACACUCAAAAACUAUAUUAGGAGCUCCUACAUAACUUAUGCAUUAUAACAAAAAUCAUUUAACAAAGAUUACAUUAUUGACUACUCUAUUUACUUUACAUAAAACAUGACAAGCCAUAAAAUACUUUGUUGAAGUUCUUGCUCAUCAUCUGGGUUUUUUUUAUGUGUAUCAAGUACAGUAAAUAGUAAAUAGGUGGAUCAUCAUGUAUUUUUAUAUUCAACAAUUGCAACUAGCUUACAAUUAAGUUCUCAUGUCACCCAACGCAUUUGAGGUUAUGAUUGAACAAAUUUUCAAGAAAGUGUAAUAUAUCAAGUAUCACAUUAAUUGUUUAGCUAAUUAAGGUACGUAGCUCUAAAGGCAGAAGGAACCAGAUUUUGUGGAAAGUGGCAAGGAUCAUGCUUUAGAAAGAAGUUGAGCCUUCAUGGCUCAGCAACUCGUAAUGAGGAUAUGUGUGGUUGAUUGAAAGGCGUGAAAUCCAUGUUUUUACUUGUUAAGAUGAAAUUAAGUUUCUAAUUAGGUCACUCAUGCUCAUAGAAUGCAAUAUACCCAAUAUUUCUACAAAAAAAAAAAAAAUAGUAAGGGAAAGUUUAUAUAUUCAACGAAAAUAUACACAUAAAUUCUCACAGCGCAACAAAAUAGUUAGUAGACUCAUGUUUUGUAGACAGUGAAAAUAUGUAACAACUUAAAAAGAAUUGGUAUUGCUUUAGCUAAAUAAGGAGUGAGACCCUCCUACGCUAAAUAACACAAAAGUGAACAUUCUAUUCUUACAUCAAACUAUGUAGAUAGAUACAACCAACUUGCGGACACCUUUUUAUGCUUUAUGGUGUUGGUUGAAGUGUUAACACACUGGUCACGUGUUACACUAUUAUCUACUGCUUAUGCUGCUUAUACUUCUACGGGCUCACUACCCAUUUUUUUAAAGAAGUUUAUCGGGAUGUAAGUUGAAGUGUCCUGUGCCCCAUGUUCACACGCAAUACGGUCUCACCGAGGCUACGACCAAGCAACUUUAACUUGUCGCUCGAACAUUAUUGAUGCGCACCAAUCUUUUUAUUGCGUCUUAGGGCUAUGCAAUAUUUGCAUGCAGCUUUACUAUUCAUCUACGACCCACCAUCAUUGAAUUUUGUUGUACUACAGCUCGUGACUGUGUACCAGGAUUGACACGAAAUUGCAAUCCUUGAGCUCGGCAAGAUUGAAACGGAUCUCCAAUCCUUGAGCUCGGCUAGAUGUUAUUUCUAGAUGCCAAAUAGCAUUGCCAUUGCGUACAAUGAUUGGUCAUUUGAGAUGAAUAAGUUUAGGUUGGAUAUGAACCUCCACCUAUAAUCCGCAUAUGUAGAAACCUUGUCAGGCGAUCUCAUUCACCGCUAAAUUGCGGAUUGUCANNNNNNNNNNNNNNNNNNNNCGUGAAUUGUCGUGGUUUGUCCCCACUAAGUCUCAUCUUGAUCCCAAAUGCUUAUAGUGUUAAAGUGAUGAGAUCACAUGCUGCAAAUAUGUCUGCAAGGAUUGAUGUCCUACAAAAGGACAUGGCGCGACCAAAAGAAGUUGGUCUUGGCGCCAUCACCAUGGAUGGUGAUAUGGUGACGCCAUAUAGUGGCAAAAUUGGUGUCACAAGGCCGUGUGGCUCCCUAAAAGGAGGGAGGCCCUUAGGUUCGAUAUAUCCUCGCACUNNNNNNNNNNNNNNNNNNNNNNNNNNNNNNNNNNNNNNNNNNNNNNNNNNNNNNNNNNNNNNNNNNNNNNNNNNNNNNNNNNNNNNNNNNNNNNNNNNNNNNNNNNNNNNNNNNNNNNNNNNNNNNNNNNNNNNNNNNNNNNNNNNNNNNNNNNNNNNNNNNNNNNNNNNNNNNNNNNNNNNNNNNNNNNNNNNNNNNNNNNNNNNNNNNNNNNNNNNNNNNNNNNNNNNNNNNNNNNNNNNNNNNNNNNNNNNNNNNNNNNNNNNNNNNNNNNNNNNNNNNNNNNNNNNNNNNNNNNNNNNNNNNNNNNNNNNNNNNNNNNNNNNNNNNNNNNNNNNNNNNNNNNNNNNNNNNNNNNNNNNNNNNNNNNNNNNNNNNNNNNNNNNNNNNNNNNNNNNNNNNNNNNNNNNNNNNNNNNNNNNNNNNNNNNNNNNNNNNNNNNNNNNNNNNNNNNNNNNNNNNNNNNNNNNNNNNNNNNNNNNNNNNNNNNNNNNNNNNNNNNNNNNNNNNNNNNNNNNNNNNNNNNNNNNNNNNNNNNNNNNNNNNNNNNNNNNNNNNNNNNNNNNNNNNNNNNNNNNNNNNNNNNNNNNNNNNNNNNNNNNNNNNNNNNNNNNNNNNNNNNNNNNNNNNNNNNNNNNNNNNNNNNNNNNNNNNNNNNNNNNNNNNNNNNNNNNNNNNNNNNNNNNNNNNNNNNNNNNNNNNNNNNNNNNNNNNNNNNNNNNNNNNNNNNNNNNNNNNNNNNNNNNNNNNNNNNNNNNNNNNNNNNNNNNNNNNNNNNNNNNNNNNNNNNNNNNNNNNNNNNNNNNNNNNNNNNNNNNNNNNNNNNNNNNNNNNNNNNNNNNNNNNNNNNNNNNNNNNNNNNNNNNNNNNNNNNNNNNNNNNNNNNNNNNNNNNNNNUGGACUCUUGAUGGAUCAAGAGAUGCCAAUAUGUAAUCAACAUCCGAGAAAAAGAUCUUGGGAAGACACAGUCUCGAUAAGGCACUCGAUGACUGUAUUGAUGAUCAAUCGGCUUAGGCGCUCUAUAACUAGUGAGGCCUACAUAUACUCCCAUGAUUAGUCAAGGUCUUUGCUCUAAAGAGAGAUCCGUUGUUUUGUCUAAAGCAAGAUGACAAAUAUGUGUUAAGAGAUGGAGUUCCCAUCUAAGUACAAAAAGACGCAUCAAUGUACUCAACACAAUACAAAAGACUUGACAUCUCAUUCGCUAUGAAAAGUUGUAAAGCUAAGUGUAGCUAUGCGCCCACGCAACGCCAAUGUAAUGGCAGUAACUCCUUUUUCAAUACUUGAUGGUAUGAAAGGUUGAGGCUUAUUCUAUCCCUACAUAAGAAAGACACAUCAAAAGCGAAAUCAGAAUCUGCCAAGUUUUGUAGGUCAACUUCCACGAGACCUAUAGGAAAUCUCACUCACUGGAAAAUGGUGAAAUUGGUACCAUUGGAAAGGUCUAUGUGUCUACUUUCCAGGGACACCAACCAUUUGAUCAUACCUAUCAUAUUGAGUGAGUUAUGGCCGUUUUCGUAAAGUAGGACGAAUCUGUCCGAGAAUCUGAUUUUGGCAAAACAGUUAACUUCGACGGGAUUUUGUGAACAGUUCCAGAUGAACCAGAAUGUGUGUAAUAUACGGUUGGAAAGCUAAAUGAGUCUAGUUCCAAAACCGUUUACGGUUCGUUCAUAUGUAUUUCCUAGAGAAAGUUACGACUGUUCUAGUAAUUGAAGGUCAUGCUGCGCGGAAACCUGAUUUCCUACACGAACUUAUGUUUUGAGUUCACAAGCGACAUUCUCCUCAAGAUCUAAGUGUAAAAGAUCAUUUGAGGACAAUACGGCAUGAUUUAGUUAAUCAUUGCCCAAUGCCACAUUUGAAGACAUGUUAAAAAGCAUUGACAUGCUAAGUUGUUGAAACUUCCGUGAUUAGUAAGAAUCAGGAAGAGCCCUAUGAUUGAUGUAAAGAUCAGGGAGAGGUGCGAACUUCAGGGAGAGUCUAGCACAUACAUACAUGUCACUAUCAAAUGUGAAGGGUGCGUUGUACUCUUUUUCUCCUACGAUCAAGGUUCAGUUUUUCUCCCACAGGGUUUUUGUGACUUGACGAGGUUUUUGACGAGGCAACAGAUCAGCACCAUCGGCAUAUCAGCGCGCGGCACAAGGGGGAGUGUUCUAGGAUAUUCUCUAUGUGUGCCUUGGCCUUAUGCCAAUAGGAUAUGUAGUUAGACUAGAUCUAUGUAUUCAUAUCAUUACCAUAUUGGUAUUGUGUAAUUCCCUAUAUAAAGGGCUCCUAUCAAUGAAUAAGAUGAUGAUUCUCUUACUAUCUCUUUGUCUCUACCAUUAAUCCUUCAUCAGUUCCUAAAUUAUCUACGAUAACGACUCUCAUAAUUCUAAAGAAAAUGACAAACUAAUAAAAAAAGAAAGCGAGGGUUUGUCAUAUUGAUUUCUUUAAGAUAUAUAAAUAUGCAAUCUUUUACAAUAAACACAAAGAAAAUACAACAUCCUUAAAGUUACACGUAUACACAAAAUAAGGUCACUUGAAUUAAUCCGACAUGACUAUGAAAUUGAGCUAUGAGUACCAAAUCUAAUUAAAUGUAACACCUAAAGCUAUGACAUCGACUAUUGUUGUCUAUUACUCCGGUUUACUGCUUUAUGGCCGAAUUUUCAAAUACAUCGUUGUCACAUCGCCGGUAAAACAUUGUUCGAUGUUAGACUCUAGUAAUGUAGAGAUUCUUAGGUAGUGCAUCUCAAAACUAUAUGAUUCCUAGCAAUAAGUCCAAAUCCGCAAGAAUUUAUGAACAAGUAAAUGUCCACACUGAAAGCAUGAUCCGAAUCCAUGAUACACUUCUCAUGUGUCGCCCAUUUAACCCUUGCCAAGAUCUAAGACACAAACAAACGUGAAAAUGAAGGCAAGUAUUGUAACAAAGCCAUUGAACUAAAUUGAACAAAAUCUGAUUCUGAUUCAAUUUCUCCAUCUUCACUUGUCACUUACAUCAAGUACAUUUUACUACAGUAGUCGACCCUAGUUAGUCAUUACCUAGUUUGAAUACGUUCAUAGAUACAAAAAACGGAUAAAAAAAAUAUGGAAUUUUCCUCACACAAAUCCCCACCAACCACUUCCCCCUGUCGUCUCGUACUCUUGCACCAAGCAACAAAGCAACCAACAAGUAAAAGGUCCUCUCGCUAGUCAUCCACCUCGGACAUCCACGUAGCAAAUUCACCCACCGCUGGAUCAGCUGACGAUCCCACGGUCACAUUUAAUUUUCAACCAACCCUCGUGUGGCUCUCUGCCACCCUUAUGCUCACCUACCAAAUACCACUUCACUCUUCCUCCCCCUUGUAACGUUUUCCCUUACCUUGCCAGUUUUGCCUCCUCCAUACAUCUAUUUAAGCACCCACCUCUCCUCCCUCCACUUCCUCAGGAAAACACCCCCCAUCUCCCCUAACCUUUCAUCCCUCUCCUCUCUCCUCUCUCCUCCAGUCCUAACUCCCAUUUCUGCGAUCAUUUCUGGGUUCAAUUCUCACUACUGACAUAUAUGGAGACCGUAACCCAGAAUGGAUACCACCAGAAUGGGAUCCAAAACGGUUCCUUGGACAUUCUCUGCGUCAAAACAGAGUCCCUCAAAGCUGUUUCGGACCCGCUUAACUGGGGAGCGGCGGCGGAGUCCAUGACAGGCAGCCACCUUGAUGAAGUGAAGCGCAUGGUGGCCGAGUACAGGAAGCCUGUGGUGAAGCUCGGUGGAAAGACCUUGACUAUUGCUCAGGUCGCGGCCAUAGCUAACCAUGACUCUGGUGUCAAGGUUGAACUGGAUGAGUCUGCCAGGGCUGGUGUGAAGGCCAGUAGUGACUGGGUGAUGGACUCCAUGAACAAAGGAACAGACAGCUAUGGUGUCACCACCGGGUUCGGUGCGACCUCCCACAGACGAACCAAGCAAGGCGCUGCACUUCAGAAAGAGCUGAUUAGGUAAGUUACCCUUUUGCAUAUUUUUGAUGGGAAGUAACCUUUUGCAUACUUUCUUAGGGGAGUUUCCUUUUGAAUGUUAAUCUGCUGAAAAUGAUUGUUUUGUCACGUCUACCUCACUUCAACAUGUUAAGUUGACAAACAAUUAAUCUAGUUCGUAAAAUUACAUAAAACCUCAGCAUCACAUUUUUUAUCUUUUUGAUGGUGCAGUAAAUAUAACUUACAGUUUCAUCAAGUAACUUAUCGUAUAUUAUUAACUCAUUAACUGCUGAGAAUUCUCCGAUUCAUUUGUAAAAUAACUUAUGAUCGUUGAUCAAGUCGAUCUAUACCUAGUUUUUUGUGAACUUGGGGACAAAGAUUCACAUAGGAAGAUAAAUUCUUAGAUAUGACAGGCGUACAAGCUACGUGGAACAACACGCCCGGCUAAUUGUGUCUCUCUCUCCCCUUUAAUUGUAUUCCAAAACAAUCGAUAUUUAAUUACUAAGAAACACUUGAAAAACCUUCCUGCAUAGGAAUUUGGCUUUGUACCUCCCCGCUCUAGCUAUAUAAGAAUCUCAGAUUUUCGUCACUAGCUGUAACAGACAGUUCCUUGUCACCUAAAAUACCUGUCUCAAAACCAACUUGGAUUGCAUAGGACGGCAAAUGACUUAAUUGGUACACACUCAAAUGACAUGAGUAGUACUUGAAGGUUCAAGGAAUUCACCUAGUACAAUCAGUAGGGAUUUUCAAAUCUUACCUAGUAAAUUGGUCUUUGAUUAGAUCUGGGUUUCAAGUUAAUUAAACUGGUCCAUCUGGAUUUGGACUCAUAAUUAGUAUUUGUCGAUUCUAUCAAUUUUAGGUGGAGUCAUGCAUUCAUACCCGUUUAUGCAUUUGAUUUUAACAUAUAUAUUAUUUUCUUGAUCCAUCGAAUUAUGAACUGAUGGAGCAUUUUCGUUUCUUGGUCCAGAUUCUUGAACGCUGGAGUAUUUGGCAAGGGAACAGAGUCUCACACUCUGCCUCACCCCACAACAAGAGCAGCCAUGCUUGUUAGAAUCAACACUCUCCUGCAAGGCUACUCCGGCAUAAGAUUCGAAAUCUUAGAAGCCAUCACCAAGUUUCUCAACCACAACAUUACUCCCUGCUUGCCUCUCCGCGGCACCAUCUCCUCCUCCGGAGACCUUGUGCCGCUUUCCUAUAUUGCCGGACUACUAACCGGCCGCCCCAAUUCUAAGUCGGUUGGACCAAAAGGCGAGACCCUCAAUGCUGCUCAGGCUUUCGAACAAGUCGGUAUCAGCUCAGGGUUUUUCGAGUUGCAGCCUAAAGAAGGACUUGCUCUUGUUAAUGGUACUGCUGUUGGCUCUGGCUUGGCCUCCACGGUUCUUUUCGAGACCAACAUUUUAACCUUGCUUUCCGAAAUCUUGUCUGCGAUUUUCGCUGAAGUAAUGCAGGGGAAGCCUGAGUUUACAGACCACUUGACACACAAGUUGAAGCACCACCCUGGUCAAAUUGAGGCCGCUGCAAUUAUGGAGUACAUUUUGGAUGGCAGUGAUUACGUUAAAGCUGCUAAGAAGCUACAUGAGCAGGACCCUCUUCAGAAGCCUAAACAAGACCGUUACGCUCUCCGAACCUCACCACAAUGGCUCGGUCCACUAAUUGAAGUGAUCCGAUUUUCGACAAAAUCAAUCGAGAGGGAGAUUAAUUCUGUUAAUGACAACCCUCUGAUCGAUGUUUCAAGGAACAAGGCAUUGCAUGGUGGCAACUUCCAGGGUACCCCAAUUGGAGUAUCCAUGGAUAACACACGUCUGGCUAUUGCAUCCAUUGGAAAGCUCAUGUUUGCUCAAUUUUCAGAACUUGUCAAUGAUUAUUACAACAAUGGCUUGCCAUCCAAUUUGUCCGGUGGGAGGAACCCAAGUUUGGAUUAUGGCUUUAAGGGAGCUGAGAUUGCCAUGGCAUCUUAUUGUUCUGAGCUUCAGUUUCUCGCAAAUCCAGUGACCAACCAUGUCCAGAGUGCUGAGCAACACAACCAGGAUGUCAACUCUUUGGGGCUGAUUUCGUCACGAAAAACUGCAGAAGCAGUUGACAUACUGAAGCUCAUGUCUUCCACAUUUUUGGUAGCGCUUUGCCAAGCCAUUGAUUUGAGGCAUUUGGAGGAGAACUUGAAGAGCACGGUUAAGAACACUGUGAGUCAGUUGGCCAAGAGGCUUUUAACUACCGGGGUGAAUGGAGAGCUUCACCCUUCGAGGUUCUGUGAGAAGGAUUUGCUUAUGGUUGUCGAAAGGGAGUACCUUUUCGCCUACAUUGACGAUCCUUGCAGCGCUACAUAUCCGUUGAUGCAAAGGCUAAGGCAAGUGCUUGUUGAACACGCCUUGACAAAUGGUGAAAAUGAGAAGAACGCAAACACUUCAAUUUUCCAAAAGAUUUCGGCAUUUGAGGAAGAGCUUAAGACCAUUUUGCCUAAAGAGGUUGAGAGCGCUAGGGCUGCAUGCGAGAGCGGUAAUGCGGCGAUUCCAAACAGAAUCAUCGAGUGCAGGUCAUAUCCUUUGUACAAAUUUGUGAGGGAGGAGUUGGGGGGAGAGUUCUUGACGGGCGAAAAGGUCAGGUCACCCGGGGAGGAGUGUGACAAGGUAUUCACAGCUAUGUGCCAGGGGAAAAUCAUUGAUCCAAUUCUCGAUUGCCUCAGUGGUUGGAACGGUGAACCUCUUCCGAUAUGCUAGCUUUCUGCUGCCCGAUUCUUUUGAUGUGUGUCAUUCUGUUCCACUUCUUCUGUCUCCAUAGUCUUAAGUUUGAUGAGGAUUCCUAGCUUUAAUCGUGUGACUAUAAUACCUAAUAAAAUGUAAAACCAUAUGUUUAUUUGAAUAGUUCAUCUUUCUCACGUUAAUAGUAACUAUUGUAGUGUCCAAACAAACCAAGAAAUCAAGAAAUGCAUCCGUCUCUUCUCUCAAAUCUCUGGUCCCCCAUAAUGGACAUAAGUUUAUCCUCUUUCUUCUGACAGAGAUCAAUCAACAAGCUUCUGAUAUGCAGAGCUAGAUAAGGUUAGUAAUUGGUUCAAUCCAAAAGAAGCACUAGUUCUAAACCUGGCUACAACCACAAGAUCAAAAGCAUCCAUAAAGAAACACACUAAGAGCAAUCAUAAAAUGGAAAAUCCCACAUCAGAUUCUGCACCAUAUUUACAGAUGGGCAAUCUGGAAUCAUAUUUAAGACCAUAAUUGAGAGGGACCAUUUGAGUCAGCCUCCAUCAAUAUAAUGAAUAAUGCCCUUUUCUCUGAGCAUGCCAAUUUGAGACCAUAAACAAGGGGGAGGGAAUUAUAGGUGCAAAUUCUCAAACACAAAAUUUGUUGAAUUUGUAAAGGAAAAUAGAUUGAUGAAAAUACAUAUGUGCUUGCUUUUGCUGCAACAAUGACAAUGCAGUGGAUGUUCAGACCAAAGAAUGUAGUGGAAGUUUGCUGUGCUUGUGAUAGCUAGUGUUCAACUCAGGUCUUGUCUGCAUCAAUAACGUCUUGAGAAACCGACCUCUUACGAGUAGUUUACUCGAACAAAACGGAACAAUCGAAUCAACCAACAAAAUUUGGCAUGCCACUAAUGUGCAAUCCAUAAAUUUUCUUCCGUAUAGCAUGAAUAAGCAUUUUACUUCUCUAUUUUCGUUCGGUAUAUAUGAUCGUUUUGCGAGAACUUCACUGCUGGCAAUUUGGCAUGCACUAUUCUGGGGAAUAUGCUAGUGAUUACCAAAAUAAAACGUGUACUUUGGCCUACUAGUGAUGAAGCGAUCAAACUGGAUGCAGAUCAGCAGAAGUGAGAAAUGAAAUAGCUAGAUAUAUCAUUUUAGGGACAGAUGAAAACAACAAGACGAUGAUAGUAACGGCUAACAAAAAAAAAGUACAACCAUGAACUACCUCAGGAUUUCCCGUCCAUUAUAGUUUUACCCCAAAUGUUUUCAAGAAUCAAGACUACAAUUACAUCCAAAAGAAACAUAAAAAGAUCCUAGAUGUUGGCAAUUCCAUCAUUGUCGCCCUUUCCUACCUUUGACAAUGUACGUACGAAAGCUUUCCAUCAAAGUUCCCCUUGCAUUCAUGGUAUUCAUAAAACUCUGAUUUCGAAACUAAGAACUACUAGUCCUUAAAGAUGACACCAUAGCAACGAGUCAAUGACACUUGGGUUGCUUGAAGUCCUGGAACCACCUAUCUGAGUUUACUGCUAAUUUGUUACAUGAAUCAAGUAAAAAUUCUUCUAUGCACGACGUGUAAGUACACUGCAUAAUCCUAGUCAUUUAUAAAUCAUAACAAUUUAUAUGUAGAUAUCACCAUGAAUAUGUAUUAUAUUUUUGUAAUCGGUAAUCGAUAAAUACCUCCCUUGGCCCACAAUGCUAUGAAGCCCAGCAUGAGGUAGAUCGAGCAGGCCUCAUCCUGGAAGCUACAACAGUCUGGGCCGGGAGAGAGGCGCUCCACAGAAGGCCAAAUAAACAGACCUCAGUAGUAUAUUUGUCCCACAUCGAAUAACAAGUAAGAUAUAAGUCAACGCGGGGCUAUAAAUACAAUGCUGAAGUCAACCAAAACGGUAAGAAAUCUCCUAGCAUUAAAUACUCUACCUACCACAUAACUAACUUAAUUAUCGGAGAGAGAAAGACCGGAAAGUCCUGGUCAACCUCCACUUGCAAGUAUCUAGUCAACAACAAUCAAAGAGCAGAGAUCACGCCAAAGAGCUUCUACGAGGUCUACGGGAUCUUGCAGAAAUAAUUGGCGUCGUCUGUGGGAAUCUCUUACGAAAAGCCAGCGAGUCUCGAUAGCUGAGUCAAGUGAACUAAUAGAAGGGAGCAUGACAAUGUUGGAAGACCAUCGCGGUCUAAGUGAGGAGAGAACAUCGAGGACCACUGCUCGGAAUGAAGGGUCGGGUGAGAGGCUAGAGUGUGAACCCAUUGGGAAUGACCGGGAAAGGACCCCAGACGGAACAUUUGCACGAUCUCACGUAGGAGGAAGUUGAGGAUACGGUUGAAAGGCUGCGGGCGGACGUGGCGCGUUUGGAGAGAGAGAGAGAGGACCCAGGAUUGCUUAGAGGCAACAGUUCGAGAGAAAAAAUUGGAACGAGAUAAUGACACUAUAAUCAGUGCGUUGGCACGAAGGUUAGAAAAUGACGAGGCGAUCGAGCGGGCGGCAGCCACCCUCUGAGAGCAACAUACAGAGGGUCGGGGAUCCUCCGUGAUGCCGCCGACAGCCCAUAGAACAGUCCAUGUUGGGGCCAAUCUGUUCCCAGAAAGCGUGGAAGGAGAGGGUCCGCCACUGCUCCUAACACCCGUUGAAGAGAGGGUGCUAGAGUCAAAAGGAGUAAAGGCGGCCCUGAUGGCCAUGCGGGAUAGUGUGGUGAAUCUAACCACGAGAGUAAAUGAAACAGAAAGGCGAGCGGCACAUAACCUGCCAGGUAUGGGAUUCGAGGAAAGAGGGGGACCGUUCACAAAGAUCAUCACGCAGACCUUGCGCUCUCAUGCGGCUAAGCCAUUGAAGUUGAGCUACGGAGGCGAAGGGGACCCGCAUCUCUUCCUGGAUAGUUUUAAGUCCCAUACUAACGCUAAAGAUUACUCAGAUGCCAUGUGUUGCAACAUGUUCCAGGAGACACUGUCAGGAGAGGCACUGAGUUGGUUUUACGAGCUCCCGGCCGGAUCGAUAGACAGUUUCAGGCAACUGGCAGAUAGGUUUGUGAACCGUUUCAUAUUGCGUAUGGAUGGGCAGAGCACCCCCCAGCUGUUCAAAGUGAAACAGGGACAAGGUGAAGGGCUAAAGGCCUUCGUGAAUCGCUGGCAGGGAGCCACCGCUAAGAUGAGAAAUUUCGACAAGAAGGUGGCGGAAGAAGCAUUUGUUUAAGCCCUGUUGCCCGAGAAAUUCAUGUAUGCCGUAAAGAUUGAAAACCCGCGGGAUUAUGACGAAUUGAUGGAGAUGACAAUCAAGCAUGCCUAAGCAGACCAUGAUACGCAUGGGGAUCAGUACGUCGGCAAGAGAAAGGAGGAUAGGAGGUCCGAGUCCCAGGGGCAAACCAUCCAAGAAGUAAGAACAUGGAAAGGGGAUCAGGAGGGACAAGGUUUCACCCCCAGCAAAAGGUAUAAAGCGGGAGGUAGGAAGCAGGCCAAGCAGGUAGGAGGCCCGCAGGGAAAAGGCAAAGGGGGUUAUCAGGACGGCGGGUUCAAAGCAGUGGCUCCCGCAGCUAGAGAAAACUUCACUACCUUGAUGGCAACUCCCGAGGUAGUAUGGAACGAGAACAAGGGCGUAAUCCUAGGGCCACCGAUGAGGAAGUUUCCGCCAUCCAGACUGACAAGGGAGGACAACGGGAAGUACUGCGGGUAUCACGGAGAGGCCACACAUGCAAUUAACAACUGUGUAGAGCUCAAGAAGGCGAUCGAGGGCCAGCUAAAAGGGGGGAAACUGCAGCAGUACGCAUGGGUCAGCAGAAGGAGGCGGGGUUCCGGUCUACGGGACGAUCAACACUAUCCGUGGGGGAGCACUGUUAGACCAGAAGAGUAACAAAGCAAAGAAACAAUGGGCCGAGAUCAGAGAAGGUUGAGAAAUAUUCACCUUCGGUAGCUGCAACAAUCAGCAUGUCAAGGUGAGCUGGAGAUCGGUGACAUUUGAGGAAGGAAAAGAGCAAGGAAUCAGGCAGCCCCACGAGGACCCGUUCCUAGUCACCGCGCAGCUGGAUCAUUACCUAUUCAAGAAGAUCCUAAUUGACAUCGGGGCAUCGGUGAAUGUACUAUUCAAAAACGCAUGGCAAGCAUUGAGAAGAGGGAACAACAAGGUCAUACAGGACAAUGAGCUGUUGAUAAGCUUCUCCGAGGAUGUGGUGCAACCUCUGGGCUCGAAUCAUAUUCCUGUGAUCCUGGAGAGCGUAGAGGGGAACACGUUGACAACAGGGAUAGAUUUUAUAGUCGUCGAUUGUGACUCAUCUUACAACGGGAUAUUGGGGAGGCCGACCCUGUGGAAGGUGAAGGCGUUCAUUGCUGGGCACAUACUGUUGAUGAAAUUACCUUUCCCUGCGGGUAUAGUGACCAUCUGGGGGGAUCAGCUGGCAGCGAGAGGAUGCUACGCCAUCGACCAAGAUAAUGGAAGGAGAAGGGCAGAAGUGUUAGUUUCAGGGAACCCGGUGACCCUCGUGACGGAUGCCUACGAGGAUCCGAGGAUUAAUGCCGCAACUGAGGGAACCGAAGCCGAAAAGCCAGGAUCUAUCGAGGAAACGGAAUUGAUCUGCAUCUCAAACGAGUUCCUAGCAAGGACAGCAAGAAUAGGGACAGGGUUGCCUCCCGGAGUGAAGGAGGAGCUUAAGUGCUUUCUAAAUGCCAACAGCAAGGCAUUUGCCUGGUCAUAUGCAGAUGUCCCCGGGAUCUUGAAAGACAUAGUGACACACCGGUUGGGAAUCCGAAAGGCGUGCCCCUGGUGAGGCAAAAACGCAGGUCGUUUGACUUGGCGAAAUAUGAUAUCAUCAAGGGAGAGGUACAGAGGCUGUUGGACAUCCAAUUUAUCAAGGAAGCUAGGUACCCACAGUGGUUGGCCAACGUGGUCAUGGUCCCAAAGAAAGUAGUGGGGCAGUGGAGGAUGUGUGUGGAUUAUACUAGCCUUAACAGGGCCUGCCCCAAGGACAGCUUCCCGUUGCCACGAAUAGACCAACUCGUUGAUUCCACCUCCGAGUUUGAGAUGCUAAGCUUCAUGGAUGCAUAUGCAGGCUACAAUCAGAUAAUGAUGAACACAACAGACGAAGAGCACACUGCGUUCACCAUCGACAAAGGAGUGUAUUAUUACAAGAGGAUGCCAUUCAAUUUGAAGAACGCGUGAGCAACCUACCAACGCCUUAUGAACAAGAUGUUUGCUAAGCAGCUGGGAGUAACCAUGGAGGUGUACGUGGAUGACAUGUUGGUAAAAAGUCUUACCGCGGUCAAACAUGUAAGCGACUUGCAAGCAGUCUUUGACAUUAUCCUAACGUACGACAUGAGGCUGAAUCCAAACAAGUGCUUGUUUGGAGUUGUUAAAGGAAAGUUCAUGGGCCACGUGAUCAGCAGGCAAGGGAUCGAAGCGAACCCGGAGAAAGUUCAGGCUAUACUGGAUAUGGAGGUCCUAAAGAUCAGAUGUGAUGUGCAGUCCCUGAUGGGCAAGAUAGUGGCCCUCACUAGGUUUGUCUUUAGACUCACGGACAAGUGCGCACCGUUCUUUAAAUUGCUGAAGAGUUAGCACUGCAAGCUAAUCAAUUGGGGACCCGAGCAGGAGGAGGCUUUCAGGAAAGUCAAAGAGUAUCUGGCAUCGGUACCAAUGCUCUCAAAGCUGAUUCCCGGAGAAAUGUUAUACCUCUAUUUAGCAACGUCAGAUACAGCAGUAAGCUUGGCCCUGAUUAGGAAAUAUGAUGUCAUCAAGCUCCCGGUAUAUUACGUGGGCAAAGGUUACACCUUGGCAGAGAGUAGGUACUCGGACCUUGAAAAAUUGGCUUUGGCACUCAUUGUAACCACCCGGAAGUUACGACACUACUUCCAAGCGCACUCCAUCACAUUAUUCACCAACUGCCCUCUUCAGCAGGUUCUCCAGAAACCAGAGGCGAGCGGGAGAUUAGCCAAAUGGGCAAUAGAGUUAGGUGAGUUCGACAUACACUACAUGCCAAGAGUAGCCAUCAAGGGGCAAGCGGCUGCAGAUUUCAUCUCGGAGCUAACCCCUAUGAAAGAACACAAGGAGUACCCUGAGAUUGAGAAUGAGGUAACAGUGGCCCCCCGGAGCGUUGAGUUGGGUUGGAAGUUGUACAUAGAUGGCUCCGUAACUAAAGAUAAGAGUAGAGCGAGAAUAAUAUUGGUUAGCUCGAACGGGUUCAAAUACAAGUAUGCCCUGGAGUUCAAAUUCUCCACAUCCAACAACGCGGCUGAGUACGAAGCAUUAAUCGAGGGACUGCAGCUAGCACAAGAGAUAGGGGUCAAGAGUGUGCAAGUGUUCAACGACUCAUAGCUAGUGGUGAACCAGGUCAGCGACACCUUUGAGGCCAAGGAACCACAUCUGAACUCCUAUCUGGCAUUGACAAUGGCUCUCCUGGGCAGGUUUGAAUCUGCAACGGUCACUCAGGUCCCUCGGAAGGAAAAUAGUAACGCUGAUGGGUUAACAAGACUUGCCACCGACACCGGUCAAAAAAGGCGCAAGAAGGUGAAGAUCGAGAUCCUAGAUAGGCCCAACAUCAGCAAAACAAUCUCGGAGAUAUUCGCCAUCACCGUUGGCCCCAAGGAGCCCACGUGGAUGGACCCUAUCAUCGAGUUCCUUAAGGAGGGGUUCCGGCUAGAGAAUAGGCGACAGGCAAGAAAAUUGCAGUCGAGAUGUGCGAGAUACACGUUGAUAGACGGCAAGUUGUACCGCAGGGGUUAUUGUUUCCCCAACCUGAUGUGUGUAUCAGUAGAGGAGGGAGAGACAAUCCUACGGGACAUCCACGAAGGAGUUUGUGGCAAUCACUCUGGAUCAAGAUCCCUGUCUUUCAAGGCAUUAAGAACGAGAUACUUCUAGCCCAACAUGGGGAAGAUGGCAGAUUAGAUGUCAGCGAGAUGUCACAAAUGCCACCAGCACGCUAACAAGGUCCAUUCCCCAUCCAUCGCUCUCUCGAUCUUGAUGUCUCCAUGGCCGUUCGCGCAGUGGGGCUUGGAUCUGAUCGGGAAGCUCCCAACGGCUCCCGGACAGUACAAGUACGCCAUCGUGGCUGUAGAUUACUAUACCAAGUGGGUUGAAGUAGAGCCACUAAGUCGGAUAACCAUCGAGAGUGUAAAUAAUUUCCUCUUGAAAAAUGUCUACUGUAGAUUUGGCAUACCAGAAACAAUCAUAACCGACAACGGUACACAAUUCAAUAACCCGAAGCUCAUAGAAUUCACCGAGGACAUGGGAACUCGAAUGGUGUUCGCAUCGAUAGCACACCCAACGACCAACGAGCAAGUAGAGGCAGUCAACAAAAUCAUCAAGAAGCUGUUGAAGAAGAAGUUGGAUGAUGCCAAAGGGUUAUGGGCACAGAGGCUCUCGGAAGCAUUAUGGGCUAUCCGGACAACCGCGACGGAGUCAACGGGGGAAACGUCUUUCAGCCUAGCCUUCGGCACAAAGGCUGUCAUCCCAGUUGAGCUGAUAGUGCCAUCGGGAAGAGUUGAGGGCUAUAGUGAGGAAACCAAUGCAGAAGGACUCCAGCUGAACAUGGAUCUCAUCAAGGAGAAGAGGGAGAGGGCCGAUCUACACACCCAAGUGUACAAGCAACGAGUUGCCAGGCACUAUGACAGUAAGGUCAGGCCCCGAUCCUUGGGCCUGGGAGAUGAAGCAAGUGAUGACCCAACCAAUGGCCCUUGAUCUAAUUAACAUGGGAGGGACCUUACGAGAUAAUGGAGGAAGUUGGCCCAACCAUGUUCUAUCUGAGGGACUGAGAUGGCAUAAUCACCGGGCACCCGUGGAAUACCGAGCACCUUAGAUUUUACCCGGUUUCGUCGAAGUUCGACAGUGGGAAUUGUAAAUUAUGCCCACCGGGUUAGCUCGUCGACCCAGGAGGAUGUCUUCAUUUGUUUUGUACAACAACUAAUACAGAAAUGAAGAUGUUAAAUUCGUAACACUUGGGAGUAAAAUUAGAGUUACCAACAGUAUCCACUAAGUUCAAAAGGCAAAUAAAAGGGGAUGCCAGGUUCAACAGGUAAGUAAAUUUUUAUUUUCACCAGGCAAGUAAAAAAAACACAAAGGAAAACACAAAGAGGAAGGAAACAAGAUCCAUAGAGACAAGGAAUCAACUUGAACCAAUAAAUAAAAGGGUAAUUAUAUAUUAACUGGACUACCCGGCAAAAGAUUUACAUCACUGGGAGUAGGCUCGAGGCCACUAUUCAAUAUGAUGAAUCCAAAAAUUACAGUCCGGUAGAGUGCAAAUAAAAAAAAAUUAUCCUAAGCCUGGUCCUUCUCGGCUGGGUCACCAAGCUCUUCUUCAUCCUCGCUCUCGGACACAAUCUCCUCAUCUCCAAUAGUCUCAAGAUUAGUCUCGGGAGGACCCUCCGUGGGGACGGGCUGGGAGUCCUGAGCCUUAGCCUUUGCCUUUGAGGCGAGCAGAUCAGCCAUCAUCCGGGGCUUGUCCAGGUAUCCAUACUCACUCCACUCCGUGAACUUCUGUGUGAUGACACUAUCCCAGGCAGCUUUCAGAAGAUCUUUCAGCUUUUGAGAUUCUUGUAAUCCGCUACAGCCCGGUCGCAGAGCGAGGGGACAAGACGCUCAAUCUCCGCGAGCUCGGACUCUUUCUCUCAGAGUUUACUCUCCAACGCAGCGGCUCCUACUCGAAGCUUCUCGACCGCCAAGUGCAGAGACUCAACCUCGGCUUCAAGCUCUGGGACUCGGUUAGCCUUGUGUUUCACUUCCUAAACAUGCAGCUGAAGCAUCGCCAGCUUCUCAGCCAAUGCAUUUUUCUCCUUCUCCAGAGACCCCUUCUCGGUCUAAAGAUAGCUCACGUGACCGUUCAGCUUGGCCACUUGCUCCUUGAGUUCAAGGAUAUCCUCGCUGGCCUCGAUAGAGUACACCGUGUAGAGAGUCUGCAAGAAAACACAAGUUAAACGAAAGAAACAACCAUAGCAACAAAAAAGAAGAUGUCCCGAGCACUAACCUUCAUCAGAUGCUCUCGAGCAAUCUGUCGAGACUCGGAGGGAGACCCUUCCUUAAACCUCACUCGGUCGAGGUCAAUACCCUUAAGGUCCCGGAUCAUGGCGCGCAUGAACUUCUCGUUCGCGCACCCGUAUUCAUCAAGGACUUGCCUGAUUGGGGUCUUCGUGAUGGUAGGAAGGGGAGGGGCCAGCAGGGACAGUGAGGGAGUAGAACCUCUGGAUGCCAACUUAUGUCUCUUCGGGUUUGGGGCAAGGUCCCUGGAGACAUCCUUCCCGGUGAAGGUCACCUGGGAAUCCAGAACAGCCUGGUCUUUCUUCUUCGAGUGGUUGUGGUGGCGCUUCUUCUUCUCGCCCAGAUUCACAACCACAUUGGAGCUUCCUAGAGGAGGCGGCGGCGGCGGAGGAGCCGUUGUCCCGUAGGCAGAAUCCGGGACUUCCAGUGCGUGUCCAGGUCCACCUCUGUACGGAAGGCGGUUUCCCCCAUUGUUAGCAUCUUCUCAAGGAGAUCAUGGUCUUUCUCCAUAUCGAGCUGGUGAUUAGGACGCGGGACACGUCGAUGGAUUUUUCCUAAAGGGAAAGGCCAUAAGUAUUUGAUCCAACAUGGUAUCUAACAUAAAACAAGGAAACAAUGCAGAAACAACACGAGCAAGUUAUGGAACCCACCGGGCAGUCUACCCAUCUCACAGUGUACCAACACAGCCCAUCGGGUCAGGUGAUACGAGCUACGGUUCUCCUCGAUGGCCACACAACGAAAAUACGAGCGAUGCGCUCCCGCUCAAUUAAUGUCAAAGAAUAGUUUUGAUCCCCAAUGGCCUAAAAAUAGUUGGGAACGGUAUGCCGUCUAGUAUUAAGUUGCCAAGAGCCGCCCACCAGGACAAUCUUAGCGCCACUCUUUGUAUAUAGAGGACAGAAGAUCGGUGAUGACAGACUCGUAGUCCCGCGCGGUAAAGUUAAUGCACCCAGAGCUCCCGGCCUUCUUCGAAUAUGACAACCGGUUCAGAGCGCGGAACUCGUUAAUCGUGCGCCACCCCAUGUUGGAUAGAAAGUACAAACAUCCGAGUCCUAGGAGCUAGCGCCAUUGAUUUGGAGGUACCUGCCCGGGAGCCAAUUGCAGCAUGCUCAAUAUGUAUUGGACGUAUUGAGGAAGCGGCACCGAGAACCCGUUCCUAAACAUAUUGUCAUGCACUGCGAUGAAAUUAUCUCGAGGAGCGCAGGCUAAUUCUCCGGGACGUAAUCCGCGCAGUGGUAGGUCUGAGGGAAUGUCCCACUCCUCUCUAAAACGUCUAAUAUCCUUAGGCGUGAAGCUACACGCCGGUUCGUCACAGACCCUACCAUCCUCCAAUCGGUGUAGGGCCCGGGUGAUGGGUAUAGCCUCAAAAACUACCCCCGCGCCAUUGUCUUGAGUGGGAACAUCUGUGUGGUCAGGACUCGAGCAAGAAGACUCAAAGGGAGAAGAAGCCCGAGAGGCCAUUGAGAUGAACCGGAGCCACUAGCGCCAGUUGCCCUAGGAUCCAUUUACCCUAGACAAAAAACGUAAGACCUAUUAGUUUUACCUAGCCACGCUGCCACCAACAAGAAGAUGCACAACUCGUGCGCGACCCUAACUCACACAAGCAAGAAACCAAAAAACCAGAAAAAUACCUAGGUUUGAGCCAAAAACAAACAACCCACAAUCUAUCCACAACCUAAACCAAACGCUUGCUUUGAAAUAUGAAAAACAAGGAGAGACAGUACUCACCAGAUAGUAAAGGCUAGAGUCUCGCUGGAGCAGGAAUCGGAGCGCACCUUGCAAUUGUAGAAAAUUGGCGACAGAACAGACGAAAAGCUUUUCUUUCUCUGCAGACUUUGAAAAGCGCUUCGAAACAGAGAACACGAGGCAAGCAAAAGAAAAAAAACAAAGAAAAAGAGUGUAGAUAGUGAAAAACGAGUGCUGACAGUGAAGAAAACGAAAGAGAGAACAGAAGAACGGAAGAGGAAUGAAACAGAGAAGCAGAAGAAGAAACUGGGGGGACUUAGGCAUAUAUACGAAACGGGGGGAAAAGGUACGCCUCGGUUCCCACCCUCCCCCCCCCCCCCCCCCACCUGCAUUAAAUAAGUAAUUUGCUGCAAAUGUGGAAAUCGGAGCCAUUGAGCUCCACUGUAAGAUCACGCCACAUGUCCCACUAAGCGGUAGCUUCUUGAAGAAGAGAGGAUUGAAACGACGUGCAUUAAUCGCACGUCCCUUCAGUCCCUCACCCCCCCCCCCCCCCCCCCAACCGCCACUUGGAGAACAUGCAAUUAAUACUCUGACAGACAACCACCAGCCCCGGCUGCUAACCCUAAAGCCACAGUCCGGGAUCCCGUAUUCAACUCUCCGGGACUGGUUGCCCUUGGAAGAAGUACUGCACAAAACAUGUUGAUGCAAACGUCCCAAACGCUCCCAGAUUAUUCUCACUGGGAGGAAACUUGCAACGACUGCAUGAAAUUAUUACGUCGGAUAAGUCAUCACCGAGAGGCAAACCAUGAGGCAUAAUUCAUAAUUCACCGAGAGGGAGACCACAGACCCACCAGUAAAUCCAGCGGGAUCAAACUGAAAAUAAUACGACCUGAAGAAAUGAAAUUUGGAAGUCCCGGAUAAGAACUAACUGGAAGACACAUACAACUUCAUAUUCACACCCGAGCAAGAACUAACGGGCGAAGCAUACCACUCCGGAAACGUACCACCGAGAAGCAUGGGCAACAACUGGAACCAUGAGAACCGUAAGUCCCUUGUACAGCUCCCGGAGAGAUGGAGUUGGGCAGUUCAUAUUAUUCCCUUCACACGGAGAAUAGUGGCCUGAUAACCCAUGCAGGGAUAAUACCCUGCGCUCGAGCAAGAACACACAAUAUGGAAAGGCUCGCUACCUUCCAUUGCAACAACAAUCCGUUCAAACAUGUCCUGUGUACGAACUUGGGGGGACUAGAAACGGGUACCUGUUGAAAAUCUAACAAAUCGUGGGCCACUUCAUGUCCCCACUCAAGACAUGUCUUGAACGGGAACUUGGGGGGACUUGUAAUCGGUAGUCGAUAAAUACCUCUCCUGGCCCACGAUGCUAUGAAGCCCAGCAUGAGGUAGAUCGAGCAGGCCUCAUCCUGGAAGCUACAGCAGUCUGGGCCGGGAGAGAGGCGCUCCAUAGAAGGCCAAAUAAACAGACCUCAGUAGUAUAUUUGUCCCACAUCGAAUAACAGACAAGAUAUAAGUCAACGCGGGGGUUAUAAAUACAAUGUUGAAGUCAACCAAAACUGUAAGAAAUCUCCUAGCAUUAAAUACUCUACCUGCCACAUAACUGACUUAAUCAUCGGAGAGAGAAAAACCGGAAAGUCCCGGUCAACCUUCUCUUGCAGGUAUCCAGUCAACGGUAAUCAAAGAGCAGAGAUCAUGCCAAAGAGCUUAUACGAGGUCUAUGGGAUCUUGCAGAAACAGUUUUUGAAUCUUAAUCAUUCAUGUAUGUAUAUACAUACACGUUGUGUACUGAAGAUACUAUGUCAAUCAAGUGAUGUAAGAGAGGUUUCUUUCCCAUAAAUUGCGAAUCUAAUUAGUCAGCCAUGUACAGAGCGUUACACAUGCAAAAGAGAUAAAACCAAUGGUAGUUCUAUGUUGUAUUUCAUCGCAAAUUUGUAUACACAGUUCAAUUACAUAUGAGAGUACUCUCGAAUCACCUUAUUAGUUCACGUAAGCGUGUUCAAGGGAACACCACUUCUGAUAUAUAUCGUUUUAUCAUUAUGGCUAUUGGAAAGAUAUCACUAUCACUUCUGCAAAGUUUGGUUGUAGCUACGCCACUGAGUGACCUGGUGAGUGGUGACCAUUCCAUCAAAAGCUAACGUUAUUUUACUGUUCUUCGUUUUCUGCAGGUAAAUAAUUCAUGGUGGGGGGUGGAGGCGUGAAUCAUGCCUUGAUUGCUAUACAUCAAUCGAAAGAGCCUCUGCUACGCUGAUUCAGCUGACUUCAUGUGUGAUAAUCGAUCGACGUAUGAUUCUCCUCUGACCUAUAUAGGCAUUGUCGAAAAAGUAAGAGCAAGUCCAACAGAUUCUUUAAAUUGUUUAAUUUUUUCUAUUUUGAGAAAUAUGAGGUCAUUUUUUACUCUAACAGUUUCCUUAUCUCAUUCUCUAAAAUAAGAAAAGAGAUAAAAGAGAAGGUUUGCUUCCCUAUAUUUAUAAAUUCUCUAAAAAUAUUUAGGGAAAGAAUAAUUGAAUGUUGCACAUUCUUCAAGGCUCAAAAAUAAAAAAUAAAACAUAAUUUAUUCUAAAAAAAUAAACUUUUAUAUUUUUAUACUUAUUAUUAUAUUGUAAUAAAUAAGAAUUGUUGUUAUAAUAAAUAUUUAAAUCUUUAAAAUAGGGACACUGUUGGAUUUGGUAUACAAAAUUUUUAGAGAUUUUAAGUUUUGAUUCUCUAUUAUAUGAAAAAUGUAAAGAAGCUCUUAGAAUUGCUCUAACAAAAUGUAAAGGCCUACUUCCAACCAAAUUUGGAGGUCUUGAAUUAUUGCUUAGGAGGAUUUUUGCUCACGGUGCAAAAUGACUGACAAGCAUGUGGAACUGACCCAGACAAAUACAUCUUGUCAAAAAAAAAAGGACCCAGACAAAUACACAAACAAGAUCGACAUAAUGCUUAACGUUCACAUGCCUUCCUUCAAUGCGUAGUAGACAGUCGCCUUGGAAUUAAUUCAUUUCCACAUGCAUCUUUGGGUUGGAACUGGCCGGCAUGUUGGUGAUCGAUUAUAGUUUCAAACCAAAGGCAAAUGGAAUAGAGUACAUAAUGUCGAAGAGUCGAUCGAUCUUGUAUCACUACCGAUCCACAAGACACGUACAUAAACAAAUGAACUCUAGAAAGAUGUGAACGAAGCAGCUAAUUACGAAAUUAAACCAUCCAUUUAGAAAUAUCAAUAUCGGUUCGACAAAUUUUCUAAAGACAAAAAAAUUACUUUUAGUUCCGCAAACCAAACGAUACCUUAGGGCAAAAAGAAUAUAGUAAUUGGCUCCAUGUUGAUGGAUACUUGUCUACCAAGGUAGGUAUUGGGUAUCAGUUGUUGAUGUGUGUUGCGUAUGUAUAACAUUGGGUUUUCAAAACACUAACAAACAUAUAAACAAUGUGCGUUCAACUUCAAAUUGUUCGUCCAAACUCUAAAGGCAAGUNNNNNNNNNNNNNNNNNNNNUUGGUUGGUCAUAGAUGACCACCAAAAUUGAUGGUUAGCAAAUUUGUUCCCUGCCCUUUCCUCUCUAGGUGGGUUUUCUCUCUAGAGACAACCACCUUGAGAAUCGGUGGCAGCUCCCCGCCAUGGACGCUGCCCAGAGUACAUCGAUGUUCCCUCUUUUUUAUACUGUCAUCUCUACCACGUCGCUUGCCUACAUUAAUUGUGUCCUUUCCUUUUGCUUUUCCUUUCGGUUUCCCUUGUUGAGUUUCCACCACCUCCUCCACCAUCUUUUUCCAAUUUGAUAUCUUUGUCUGCCAUGGCAGAGGGGAUUUUGCGGAAUGAAAUUUGCUGUGCCCAAAAACCCAGUACCAAAUCUGUGUCAUCUACUAAAUUUUGACACAUGUCUCCGACUUAAACAGACAUUAACCCUAUUAACCACAAUGUUAUCUUCUAAUAAAAAAAAAAAAAAAAAUUUUAAGAAGAGUACAUCAAGUAUGAACCACUGAGAAUUAAGAUGAAUUAACUUUACAAAACAUAAUAAUAGUACAUGUAGUUUAAAACCCAACUCCACAUAUAUACAUACAGUCAGUUUGACUGUUAGUCUGCUUGAUUCCGUCAAUUUUAUGAGGACAAAUCCGUCUCUUAAGUGAUACUGAAGAAACACAAAAAAAAAAAAAAAACAGAAAAUGCAGACUUGGCCAAUCUCACUACUACUUUUUUCCACUACCUUCAUAUUGUACGUCAAUCAUUUUCUUCGAAUACCGAUCAAAUAAGAACCCAUCACAUAUAUAGAUCCAAUCUUUGUCUUUGUCUUCCAAACAGAUACAAAAUGAUUAGAAUUUUGCAUCAAUAAUGAAUAUAAGUGGUAGGGUUUUCUGGUGUUGAGAUUUUUGAUGAAGGUUCUAACAUUUUGGUUUGAAGAGUGAGAAGUUGAUGAUUCAAACCCAAAAGCUUGGACUAUCAAUACGACGAGUGAGGGGAGACUGGACACCCACAAAACUAAUCUGGGUACCCUUCUCUUCAUCUUCAAGCACAUACAUGAUACAUCCCUCAUCCGCGAUUGCAACCCAAGUCUACUUCUGAUUGCUCUUUCCGGCCACUCCUCUACGGUUGCAUUCGGACUAUCUUGAUCUCAGAUCCGAAAUCAUACCAAAAGCUAUAAAUAUCAGAACUCUAUCACAAAUCAAACUUUCUUGAACUCAAAUCCAAAAUUAAACCCGACCCUUCCAAAAUCUCCACCAAGAAUCUGCUCACAAGGACCUUACUGGGAGGGAGAGAGAAACUGAGUUAUGGGUCUUUGGAGGAGAAGAGAUGGGUUAUGGGUUCUCUAAAGUAGAGAGAAAUUGGAUUGUGGUCAUCAAUGGAGAGGAAGGAGGAGUUCUGGGUGUCAGAGAAGGAAAAGGAGAAGGAGAGAGAAUGUGAGAGGGAGAGAUGGAAUGACCGUUGCCCUUUGAAAAAUGAACAAUGGCAUAAGGGUUAAUGAUGUUAGUAACGGUAGGUACUAAAAGUGUGUAGGAUUUUCAACCUUAUGCACCAUUGUGAUGUUUCAUGAAGUAUAUUCACCUUAAUUCUCAGCGACUCAUACUUCCUGUUUUUAAAAUUUUUCCAAAAAAAAAUUAAGGAGUACGAGACAUGCUGAACUAAUUUUCUAGUAGAACAAGUGUUGGCUGUUCCUCAUAAUUUUAGGAGAUUUGUCAAUUUAAAUGUCAUCUAGAGGAGAUGUACCAUUUUUUAGGAGAUUCGUCAGUUUGAACAAGUGUUGGUUGUUCCCAACAAUUCCAUUCAUAACUCGUUAAAAUCACGAUGCUUUAAACCAUAAACAAAAUGCCCAGUAGCUCACUACAACAAUCAAACACAACAAGUUCAAUCCUAAUUGUAAUUACUCAAUGAAAACUGAAACUAGACCCUCCGCUUUUGUAGUGCUUCCUCCUCUUCGUCGUAAUACCUUUUCAAUUCCUCUCAUCGCAAUCAUAUCUCUUCUUUGUAAGGCCAAAAGAUCAGACAACGAACAUAAAUUGGGAAAUUAGUAUGGGUUUACGAACAUGAACAAAAAUUGAAACCACGACAGUUAUAGUCGUUGGAGUGGUGAAGAAAAAUUCUGGGUUAUUGUUUCAGAUCGAGAGUUGCAGAGAGAGAAGAAAGAAGAAGGAUAAGGAUAAACAUGGAAGAGAAAGAGGAAGAGUCAAACUUAAUUCCAAUUUUUUUUUUAUUUGAAGAUAAACGUUAUGGUUAACAGGGUUAAUGUCUGUUUAAGUCGAAAACAAAUGUCAAAAUUUAGUAGGUGGCACAGGUUUGAUACUGAGUUUUUGGGCACAACAGAUUUCCUUCUGGAUCUAAUUUUUGCUACCCACGAAGUUUACUGCAUCAUAUUGGAGGCUUCACUUGGAAUUACCUUCCUGUUGCAGAUUUAAUUAGUAGGAAGCCAUUCUAAUAAGGGCUUUUAUAAUGAGGACUAGUUUGAUGACUUUUUGGUGUAUGGUUUAAAUAACUAUUUUUCGAUCACAUUUUGACAUCUUAUUCGUUCAAUUUUUAGCUCUAUAUGAGUAUAUCACUUAUACAAAUUUUCAGCCAAAUUGAUAAUCGUUAAGAUAAUAAACUAGAUCAAAUUAAUAGACGAAUCAAAUCUGUCAAACAUGAACUGUUCAAGUUCAUAAUUGGUAAAUCAAAUUUAUAAAUGUCUAAACGAUUCUCAAAUAAUCUACUCAUAAAUACAUAUAAACUGAACGGUCAAUAUGUGGAUAUAAGAUGGAAAAACGGAAUAAGCCGAAAAGUCCUCAACUAGUCCUCAUUAUAGAGGUCUUCAUUAGAAGGUCUCCCUUGCAUCAGAUCGGAGGCUUCACUUGGAGUUACCUUCCUGUUGUAGAUUUAAUUAGUAAAAUGAGUAAACUUUGAUACGAUGUAUGUUUAUAUUUUGUUCGUUUUCUUUAAACUUAAACGUUCAAGCUCAAUGUAUAACAAAUUGAAAUGAACAACAAAGAUGAAUAGAUCGAGCUUGAACACUAAAAAUAUCAGUCUAGUGAAUUAAUCUGUAGUUUGUAUAUAUAUUAUUAUGAAACAACUUAGUAACUCCCUUUGAAUCGAUCAUGUUUGUAGCGAUCUUAAAUGAUAAAAACCUGAGUCAGGUAGGAAUAUAGUGGAUGUGAUACUGAUUACUGAACACUAGUUAUGGGUACCGAACCAAAUUAACAAGUCCUCAAACCCAAUAGGCCCCUAAAAGAAUGGGCCGGAUUUUGCUAGUGGUCUCACAAGUCAUAUGUCUCUUCUAUUUAUGCAUAAUUGUGCUUCACAGUUCUGAGAUUGCCCAGUAUUACUGGUUUGGAACUAUGGAUGUUCGAGCAAGCUUAGACUGUAGGAUUUUGAAAGCUAGUCCUAUUGACCUAUUGGACACAUCUCUAAGCAUUUUGGUUAGAUCAAGCUCUGGACCUCAUUUGAAAAUAAACAAUGGGAAAACACUUGAUGCAUGCCACAAUCCAUGUAGGAUUUUGAAACAAGUCACAAAAACAAUCGGAACAAACCAUAACAUUUAUGACACAUUUACUUACAUGAAAUGAGAAUGGUGAGUGUAUGAGAUUUUGCGCGUGUACUAACAUAUGUAGGUAUGGGAAUGAUUCCAAUGUAUGAGAUUCUUGCUAAUAUGAAGUUUGGUCAUGGUUAUUGGAGUGAAAACAAGUUUUCCAUCCCUUUCAACUCUGGUGUCAUUUGACCAUUUAUUGUCUCAAAACUCUUGAUGUCUGAUAUCUGUUUUUUUAAGUUUCACUUGGUACAUAGAUGCAAACUAAUGGUUGUAUAAAAGUGAAGAGCCAACGUACUUGUCAUUCACCCUAGUUUUCUUCAUUACAUGUUUCCAAAUCAAAAGUUCGAACUAGACAUCCAAACUUAAUUUUCAAUAGAAUCAACACAAUUUCCUAAAGCUAUAUAGACCCAAAACUAAUUUGAGCUAAGAGAUCAUAUUAAAAUGCCUCAUCAAAAAUAAAUUAACAUUAAAACUCCAAUAAACGUCGGCGAGACUCGUACCUCCGGUACAGGUCUCACACCUGUUAACGGAUCGUUAACCUAGCAGAAAGGUGGGAUAAAUAUUGACGUCAUUAAUAUUUAUAGAUAAUCCCAAAAAAUUGUGGUAAAAGAAUCCCACUAGCUGUCUCUGUUCAUUUUAUAAACCGAAAGGUCGGGGACUUAUUCUCUUCGAUCGCCCAAACAAACCAAAGCAGAGAGUCAUGGCUUCCCAGCUAUUGAGGCGCGUAAUCGGAAGCCGCUCCACCACCCACUUUCUCUCCGGCGCCGCGAAUCCUUUCCCGUCCUUACUCUCCUCCUCCUCGUCUCCCGCAGCUAGGGUUUUCUCUUCUACCUCCACUCCGAUCACCGCCACCCUCUUCCCCGGCGACGGCAUCGGCCCCGAGAUCGCCGAGUCCGUCAAACAGGUCCGCCGUCGAUCCUUCUUCACUUUCUUCUCUCCAAUUUCCAUUUAAGCUUCGUUUAUUCUGCAUUGGAGUUGUGUAUGUCUGUUUAUGCAUAUGUGUAUAUAGUUAGUUAUGUACACUCGCACUCAAUGAACUUGAAUUCUAGGGUUCCGAAAUUUAGAUUCUUUAUUAGAUAUUAAUUUCUUAUUAUGAUAAUUAUUUUUGACUGAUCGGUAUUUUUGUUUAGUGUGUUAUUGUUUUUGUUCACAAUUUGCUGAUUUGAUUCCUUGUGAAACUGUGCAAGUUGCUGUUUGUUUCUCUGAAAAUUUAUUUUCAAUGAGAAGUUUAUUAAAUCGUGACGGUGCAGUUUAGCAUUUUGAAUAAACUAGAUGUUAAAGUUGAAAGUACAUGCUUCUUAAUGCAAUGUCGUAAUUGAAAUCGCGAAUGGAUGUCUGAUGUUAGAUGUUGUUAUUCCUUGGAAUAUGGAUUACUUUGUUGUGGUGUAUAGUGCUGAUGGAGUUUGCAAUUGUGUUGAUCAGAUGUUGUUAUACCUUGGAAUAUGAUUACUUUGUUGUGAUUUAAAUUGCUGAUGGAAUUUUGCAAUUGUGUUGAUCAGAUGUUGUUAUACCUUGGAAUAUGAUUACUUUGUUGUGAUUUAAAGUGCUGAUGGAAUUUUGCAAUUGUGCUGAUGCAGAUAUUCAGAGAAGCUGAAGUCCCGAUUCAAUGGGAAGAACAUUAUGUUGGGGAGCAAAUAGAUCCCAGGACGCAGAGUUUUCUGACAUGGGAAAGUUUGGAAUCAGUACGGAGGAACAAGGUAGGCUUGAAAGGGCCAAUGGCCACACCGAUUGGGAAAGGUCAUCGUUCUUUGAACCUUACACUAAGGAAAGAACUUAACUUGUAUGCAAAUGUCAGACCUUGUUACAGCCUUCCGGGCUACAAGACUCGUUAUGAUGAUGUUGAUCUUGUCACUAUCCGUGAGAAUACGGAGGGGGAAUACAGUGGACUUGAACAUCAAGUAAGUUGUUAAAGAAUAAGCAGAUGAAUGUUAAUAUUCUUUUCAAUUUGUUGAUUAAAUUCUUUGUUUUAUGAUAGGUGGUGAGAGGUGUUGUUGAGAGCCUCAAGAUCAUUACCCGUCAAGCUAGUUUGAGGGUGGCCGAGUAUGCUUUUCAUUAUGCCCAGGCCCAUGGUAGAAAAAGAGUGUCUGCAAUUCACAAAGCAAAUAUAAUGCAGAAAACCGAUGGCCUUUUUCUCAAGGUUUACCAAUUGUUAAUCUAUAUGAAAACUAAUUUUCUUGAUUGUUUUCCCAAGUAUCCACAUAUUAAAUCUGGUUUGAUCUUUGCUUUCAGUGUUGCCGUGAGGUUGCAGAGAAGUACCCUGAUAUAGUAUAUGAGGAAGUUGUCAUUGAUAAUUGCUGUAUGAUGGUAUGAAUAUUUUAUUUAUAUAUUUAUUUUUAUGUCCUGUGGAAUAUAAAUUGAACUGCUUUUGUGAAAGUGAAGUUGAGAAAAUUAUAAUGGAAACACUAUACAAAAAAAGAAGAAAAGAAGUCAGGUGGGGAUAAAUAGAUUCAAUAAAAGCUACAGAAUUAUGAAUUAAGGACUGAUCAUGUCAGGUCCUGCACCUUGUUAGCAAUUUUACUUAUUCAUAUAUUGUGGGAUACUUUUUUUUUUUUGGUUUAAAUAAAACUAAAGCUGCUCAAUCUAAAUGCUUUAUCUUCUGCAGCUUGUGAAAAAUCCAGCACUUUUCGACGUGUUAGUGAUGCCUAACCUAUAUGGUGAUAUUAUUAGUGACCUUUGCGCUGGGUUGAUAGGGGGUCUGGGCUUAACACCAAGGUAUUUACAUUCGAUUUACACAGACACACACAUAAUGUGUGAGUAUAUGGAUUUUUGUUUUCUUCUAAUAUGUGGAUUGUCUUACAUUUUUGCCUUGUGCAUGCAGCUGCAAUAUUGGUGAGGGAGGUAUUGCCCUGGCUGAAGCUGUACAUGGAUCAGCACCUGAUAUCGCUGGAAAGGUGAAUAUUCUUGGACCUUGUGAAGUUCAGUUUGUACCUAUAUACUCACAAAAGAUCUCUAUUUAGCAUGGUCACCUAUCCCAUUGUUAGUUAUAAUGUAAUAUCUGGUAAAGUUUGGUGUAGCUUUUGCUCAGAAGGUUUAACAAAUGUUUAUUAAAUUGUUACCGUCCAAUUGAUAUGGCUUCCCUGUUUUAGAAUCUGCAGAUUAUUAAGGUCAUUCUGGUGAACCAGAAAGAAGCAGCCUAGAACCCUAAAUUAAAAGUCAACAUGGUUAAUGAAUGGGAGAACUUUUGUUUUUUUGAGAUUGUUGUUGAAUGUCUCUGUCCUUAGCCAGCUUUUGAUGCUUGAAAAAUUUGUGUACCUGACAAGGUUCUGAUAGGCUGUGAUCUUUUUGGGUCCUCUUGUGGUGUUUGACACUUCUACCUCGUUGGUGGGUUGGAAGUGAGCUCUGAAAUUUGGUUCUCAUGGUACUGUUUUUUGAUGUUAAGCUAUAUUGUGGUGCUGUAGCUACCGACUAGAUAAUGAAAGCCUUAUCAGACUUGGUAUCAUUUGAGUAUAUAUUAGUAUGAUUUGUUCCUUUUGAUAUUGCUUUUUGGCCACCACUCCUUUGUUUAUGAAAUAGCUUUUGUAUAUUAUGUUUUCUCCCAAGUUAAUUUUCCUGUGGUUGAAUGUUUACAGAAUUUGGCAAAUCCGACUGCUCUGCUUUUGAGUGCUGUCACCAUGCUUCGCCAUUUGGAGCUCCAUGAUAAAGCUGAUAGGAUUCAGGAUGCGAUCCUGAAGACAAUUGCAGAGGGCAAGUACCGUACAGCUGACCUUGGUGGCAAAUCUACAACUACUGACUUCACACAAGCAAUUAUCGGUCAUCUUUGAAAGGAUACUGCUAGGAUUUCGGUUUUUGCAUUGUAGUUAACCUAUUAUUUGUUGUGACUCCUUGUGGAGCCACGCUUCAAAAUUUUCUCAUACUGCUGUUGUUUCUGAUGGGGAAUAAGUUCACAUCAAAUUGGUGACUAUAAAGUGAUUCUUCUAGCCAUGGACAUAUCGGUUGUUUUUUUGAGGGACAAAAAAGUUGACACCGUUACCGUGAAUAUACUCAUAACUUUCCUGUGCAAUGUAUUUGACAAUAAGCAAAUGAUAUUUUGUUCAUUGGAGUCAUUCUGCCAUGGUUUUCCUGUGGUAUUGUGCGAUUUUUGUGCCAAAUGUUUCAUGGAAUAAAGGCAUCAGUGUGUUCAAGUUGUAUGGACAAUACUGCAGUCCCAAUAAUAUUUGACCGAGGGUAACCUGAGAAUACAAAUUUUUUUAUAUCCUUUUUUUCGAUGUGAAUUUUUCUAUCCUUGAUCCUCCUGCUUGUAGUAUUAUGAACUUAACCCUCGGUGCUUUUGAAGUUUUCAGUCAUUUGACCCUAUUACCAAUGAAAUGUAUGAGCAUCAGAUUGUGAGUUCUUUCGGUUUAAUGGUAUCAAUAUAUUCUUGGUGGCCAAGAAAGAGAAAUGUUCGAAAUCAUGUGAUUUGGAUCCAUUUUUUGUUAUUGCUGUUGUUGAAAAGACAAAUUUAAUUCAAUCUCAUGAUAAAUCGACAAAUUUUAUAAUAUUAAUCAUUUUAAAAAAUCAAUCGAUUACAGCAUGUCUAUCGAGAAUAGGUUUUAUCAAUAUUCAGUGUUCAGUAACCUAUGGUUCUGUUGUCGGUGGAAAAUUUUGAGGUUUUAAAUCAUAUUUUCGAAGAAAAACAUCAGCAUUGAGAAAUGAAAAAACCAAAACCUACAAAUGAGGAAAAAAAAGAAAAAAGGUAUGUAGUUGCUUUUGAAAAUUCCAAGUGCCCCCAGUGGGUUUGGUGAAAUAGCGAGAGAGCCACUACGUCACACUACCUAUAAAAGCACACACCCAUUUCGCUUGAGCAGAUCUGAUCUGAAUCUCGCUAUUGUCUUCUUCCCGUAAACCCCUAUCUCUCUCUCAGCUCACCUCUCCCAAUGGCCUCCGAAGGAAUUCUGCUCGGAAUGGGCAACCCCCUCCUCGACAUCUCCGCCGUCGUCGACCAUGACUUUUUGAAUAAGUAACACUCAAACUCAGAUCUACACAGCCUUUCGUUGUCUGAUUUAGCUUUCUAGUGUGUUAAUCUGUGAUUUGUGGCCUAAUCGUGUUUGGUUUUUUUGUGUGAAAAAAAAAACAGAUAUGAUCUCCAGCUCAACAAUGCGAUUCUGGCUGAGGACAAGCACCUCCCCAUGUAAGCAACUUUGAACUUUGCUCUGUGUAUGUAAUGUGUAUCUUGUGGCAUUGAUAUGAAUCUUGUUGGAAAUUGUGUUGCUUUUUUUGAGUGGUUCAUUGUGUCUUUUCUUGAUUUGCCGAUUUCGAUGAGAAAGAUCAUCAAAUCGAGCUUUGAUUUCAUUUCAUUGACAUGACUGGUUGGAAUUUUAAUGUGCACUGUUGCUAGUUUUGUGUAUGAAUAUGAAAAUGAACUAUGCUUUUAAGAGUAAAGUUAGCUUGUAUGCCAGCGGAGUUCAGCUUAAAUUGAAAACACAGAGUCUCUUUCACUUAAUAUGCCAUUCUUUUAGAGGCUUUAAUACGCCAUUUUUUGUAUAUAAUUUUGGUUGUCUGAUCACAAAGCAUUUUCUUUCAAAUCUUAACCGACAAAAAUGGAUGUAUAUCUCAGGUAUGACGAACUUGCAUCAAACCCUAACGUGGAGUACAUUGCUGGAGGUAAAAGCAUGGAUUACACUUGGUUUUGGGUUUCAAUGUUGUUAUUGUAGAUAUUCUAAGUUACUCUUUACUUUUCAUUGUUGCAGGUGCUACUCAAAACUCCAUUCGAGUUGCCCAGGUACUUAAGGAACUGUUUUUUUUUGGUGACGCUUGAGUAAUCUAAUCAUUUAUAUCCUUGUUUAAUUGUAAUGAUUUUCUUUGAACUAAAGUUAUCUUACUUUUCUGCAGUGGAUGCUUCAAGUACCUGGUGCAACAAGUUAUAUGGGCAGCAUAGGAAAGGAUAAGUAUGGUGAGGAGAUGAAGAAGAACUCAAAACUUGCUGGUGUUAACGUGAGUAUCUUCUUUUUCUAUAAUCCUUAUAUAAUGUGUGAUUAUGUACACAAACAAAGACACAAACUUUUGGAACUCUUGUGGUUUUAUAACUUGCAACAGUAAUCUUAGUUUUCCUCCAGAUUUGCUCCAACUUAUAUCUUUCCUCACUACCAUUUCCUUUUCUAAAACAGGUUCACUAUUAUGAGGAUGAGUCUGCACCAACAGGUACCUGCGGUGUUUGUGUAGUGGGUGGUGAAAGGUGAGCUUCUGUUCAAGUUUGUUCAAAAUAUUUCAUAAUAUGCUUGUAGUUGUAAUAGAUCACAACCUUAAAAGAUAAUCUCAGAAUUUUCAGCUUGCCGAACUGAUAAAUGUUGUGGGUAUGCAAAUGUAGGUCACUUAUUGCCAAUUUGGCAGCUGCUAACUGCUACAAAGUUGAGCAUUUGAAAAGACCAGAGAACUGGGCAUUGGGUGGGUACCCUUUCAGAUACUUGCUUCAGGCUUUUAAUUUCAUUUCUCUAGUAAUGCAUAUUUAUGAACUGAGCUUCUUUGUCAAUCCUGUUUGAGCAGUUGAGAAGGCCAAGUACUUCUAUAUUGCUGGUUUUUUCUUGACUGUAUCGCCAGAAUCCAUUCAGCUUGUUGCUGAACAUGCAGCCGCAAACAACAAGGUACUUAGAAUGUCAUACCUUAAAAAUUCCAUCUUAUUUACUGCUUUCGAUAACCUGUGCAAUAAAUAGUCUUGACUAUUGCAUUUAUCUGCAGGUCUUCAGCAUGAACCUUUCUGCCCCAUUUAUCUGUGAGUUUUUCAAGGAUGUCCAGGAGAAAGCUUUGCCGUAAGCAUUUUGUUUUUCUCUUGUUCCUUCGGGAAUUAAUCAAGUAUAUGAAUUUGCUGAUGGACAUGCCUUUUUAUGAAUUUAGGUAUAUGGAUUAUGUUUUUGGAAAUGAGACAGAAGCAAGAACCUUCUCAAAAGUUCACGGCUGGGAGGUAAUGGUCUUAUUACUAAUUGAGCAUUACCAGAUUGAUGGCUUGCAUUCAUAUUGUUGACCUACCUUCAUUGAAUUACCAGACCGAUGAUGUUGAGCAAAUAGCUCUUAAGAUCUCCGAGUGGCCGAAAAUAGGUGGACGCAAGAGGAUCACUGUUAUUACUCAGGGGGCAGAUCCUGUGGUUGUAGCUGAGGAUGGGAAAGUGAAGAAGUUCCCAGUCAUCCUGUUGCCAAAAGAAAAGCUUGUUGAUACCAAUGGAGCAGGUAUGCUCUUGAAUAUAUCUGUAGUCAUAGUGAUUAUGUAGCUGCUAUUCGAAUUUAUUAAAACAGCAAACACUUCCAAAAUGCUACAUAAACAAAUUGUUAAUUCAUUUAUGUUAUUCUGGGUAUAGGGGAUGCUUUUGUUGGAGGUUUUCUAUCUCAGCUAGUUCAAGAGAAACCCAUUGAAGAUUGCGUGAAGGCUGGUUGUUAUGCUGCAAAUGUGAUCAUCCAGAGGUCUGGCUGCACCUACCCAGAGAAGCCUGACUUUAACUGAGCCAUGAUUCCUUUUGUUCUCUACUUCCUAUCUAUGCUUCAUUUGAAAUUUUGAUUGUUGAGACUUGAGAAGUCUACUGCUAUUUUCCUGUCUCUGUAUUUGCUUAUCAAGUAUCGGUCGUUUAGUGGAUGCAUGCAUUAAUAGCCCACUAAACCCCAGUUAUUGGUUAUUAUGGGAUUUUUUGAUCCCUCCAUUGAAGAUGGGAUAGGACUACACGUAUUGUAUUCUACUGGUAGAAAAAUUCAGUUUUCCUUGAUAUCUGGUGAGAAGAAGCAUCGAACAGUUUCUCUCUGAUUCAAUUCUUUCCAAUCAUUAUAUAUCUGGUCAUAUGACGCAUUUCAAAUUUCUUAUAGAAUUGUUACUCUUUCUUCAGUUUCUUGUGUAAAACCAUAUACAGAAACCCAAGACAUUCAAAACAGAACCCAAAUUAUUCCCUGCAUAAAAAUGUUUUUGUCAGAUAACGCUCCAUAGAAGAACAUUUGCAGUCCAAACCUUUUUGUUUUUUUUUGUAUCAGAACAUGAAAUUCAUUAAGCCACAAAUGGGCAAAGAAAAAUAGAAGCAACAGAAGAGAAUAACAAGCACUGGAAACAACCAAACAAGGCCAACAGAACUAAGCAAAACACCAUAAAUAACACAAAAAAACACAGCAUGAAGAUCAUUUGCAGUCCAACUUGAACAGUCAUACAAUUCGUCAAGCCCCUUACGAGAAUGAUCCUCUCUUUAUCCUAAUCAAAUUUGACUGCAAACUAAGAUUUUCUCGUUUCGAGUAGAUAAACAUGCCCUAAAUGUAAGUGGGUGAGGCGGUGAGUCCUACUUAUUCAUUUAUAAUGCAAAUUUAGUACGAGCAGUAGUGUAGGUAUGAGUAUGACUGUACCAGUGACCUCGACUGCAAUAUGAUCUAGGGAAGCAAUCGUCGGUGAUCGAAAAUACUUUGCAUAAUUUUACUGCAGAAAGAAACAGUUGAAUGGUUCACUGGAGCCACGUUCUCUACCUACCUAUAUAUAUAUUUUCGUAUAAAGACACAGACAUGCUGCUUCAGCAGAUCUUUAUUCUGAAUCUUGCUACUGUCUCAUUGUCUUAAACUUACCACUCAUCUCUCUCUCUCUCUCUCUCUCUCUCUCUCUCUCUCUAUCUAGUCGCUCCUCAGCUUCUGUAAAUCAAUGGCCUCCGAAGGAAUCCUGUUGGGGAUGGGUAACCCCCUCCUUGACAUCUCUGCCGUUGUCGACGAAGACUUCUUGAAAAAGUAAGUUUUAUGUUUUCCCAACACUAAUAUAUGGAGCUAGCUUAUUCUUAUCCCCACAAACUAAAUGAUGUAUUGCGCUUAGAGGAUUUGGUUUUCUGGUUUAGCUGUACAGGAUCGAAUGUAUAGUUUGUACUCGGAAAUUUGGUGUCAUGGGAAUGACUUGAGGGCUAAGGUAGUGUUUGUUUUUGUGCAACAGAUAUGAUCUCCAACUCAACAAUGCAAUUCUUGCAGAGGACAAGCACUUACCCAUGUAAGGAAUUUAGUUUUAUGUACGGUCUAAAGUUUCUCAACUCUGGGGUGCUUUCAAAAUAGUUUCUAAAAGCUACCCCAAAGUAAUUAAAUUACCACUGUGAGACACUUGUGUGAUUGCUAAGCAGCAGCGUCUUUUGUUUUAAUAUGCUUUUUACUGGGUAAAAUUUAACAUGUAUAUAUCUCAGAUAUGAGGAACUUUGUUCCAACCCUAACGUGGAGUACACUGCUGGAGGUAAGCAUGGAUUACACUGUUUUGGUUUUCAAUAUUGUUACUGAGCAUAUCUCAAUUUGUUUUAGAUAUGGAUUGCUUGAGUUACUAAAUAUGAUGAGUAAAAAGAAUGAAACUUUUGAUUGUGGCAGGUGCUACUAACAAAUCCAUUCGAGUUGCCCAGGUACUUCAUUAACUGCUUCUUAUGAUACUCAAGUUAUUAAUCCGAUUAUUUCAUAUCAUUCUUUAAUAGCUGUGAUGUGAUCACCGUAAAGUGAUUUCUCUUUACUUUCUGCAGUGGAUGCUUCAAGAACCCGGUGCAACAAGUUAUAUGGGUAGCAUAGGGAAGGAUAAGUAUGGGGAUGAGAUGAAGAAAAACUCAAAACUUGCUGGUGUUAAUGUAAGUCUCUUAUUCUUUAUAAUGUGCAGUUAUGUACACGAACAAUGACACCAACUUUUGGAACUCAUAUCCUCUAAUCAAUUGCAGCAAGUAAUCUUAGUUUUCCUCCAAAUUUGCACCUUCAACACAUAUAUAUUCCCCUUGCUUCUGGUUCCUUUUAAAAAACAGGUUCACUUUUACGAGGAUGAGUCUGCACCAACAGGAACUUGUGCUGUUUGUAUCGUGGGUGAUGGGAGGUGAGCUUAAGUUCAUGCUAACUUGUUUAACGUUUUUCAGAUUAUGCCUGCCAAUUUGCCAAUUUGGUAGUUGUACUUGUACUGCAAGUGUUCAUAUAAGUAUAAACCCAUAAGAAGUUUCAGAUUAUACCUGCCAAUUUGUUAGUGUGUGUAUGUAGGUCACUUGUUGCCAAUUUGUCUGCUGCUAACUGCUACAAAUUUGAGCAUUUGAAAAGACCAGAAAAUUGGGCAUUGGGUGGGUACCCUUUCAAGUUUCAAUCUUGUGUUUUCAAUUUCAAUUUCUAGUAAUGCACUUACUUCUCUGAAGUGAUUUAUUCGUGAUUGAAUCCUGUUUGUCCCUGCAGUUGAGAAGGCCAAGUACUUGUACAUUGCUGGUUUUUUCCUAACUGUAUCGCCAGAAUCCAUACAGCUUGUUGCUGAACAUGCAGCCAGUAAUAACAAGGUUUUGGAAAUGACAUAAUCUCAUCAAAUUUUUUGUUUCAAUCAGUUCCUGUUUUCAAUAGCAUUUGCUAGAAAUAGUCUUGACACUUCCAAUUAAUUGCAGAUUUUCGGGAUGAACCUUUCUGCUACGUUUAUCUGCGAGUUUUUCAAGGAUGUUCAGGAGAAAGCUUUGCAGUAAGCGUUUUUCCUUCCUCUCCGGCAUAACAAUCAAGUAAUAUGGACGAGCUGAUGCAUGUUUUGGAAUGCAGGUAUGUGGACUAUGUUUUUGGAAAUGAGACAGAAGCAAGAACAUUCUCACAAGUUCAUGGCUGGGAGGUAAAUGGUUGCUCUAGUACUAGAUAGAUCUUACCAAUUAAUGUAGAAUCACUCAUAUUUUAACCUAUGUUGAUCGAUUAGUUUGAUUCAUCAGAUUGAUGAUGUUGAAGAAAUAGCUCUAAAGAUCUCCCAGUGGCCGAAAGCAUCAGGAGCCCACAAGAGGAUUACUGUCAUUACUCAGGGAGCAGAUCCUGUAGUCGUCGCUGAGGAAGGGAAAGUGAAGAAGUUCCCAGUGGUAUUGUUGCCCAAAGAAAAGAUUGUUGAUACUAUUGGAGCAGGUAUCUCUUAUAUGUAGUGAUAGGGAAAUAUCUGCUAUCUUAGAGUUAGUUAAUCCAGCAAACACUAACAAAUGGAAGUACAAGAUAUAAAUUGUUUGUUAACUUCUUGAUAUUAUUUUUGGGUCUAGGGGAUGCGUUUGUUGGUGGCUUUCUAUCGCAGUUAGUUCAAGAGAAACCUACUGAAGAGUGCGUGAGAGCCGGUUGUUAUGCUGCAAGUGUGAUCAUCCAGAGGUCUGGCUGCACCUACCCAGAGAAGCCUGAUUUUCACUGAACCAUGAUUCCUUCUGUUCUUUAGUUCCUACCUAUGCUUUAUGUUGAAGUUUUGAUUGUUGAGAACUCUACUGAUAAAGUAGUCUAGGGUUCACAUCUAAAACCAAUUGGCCAUGGAUAGAGAGACCCAAACCCUUACAGGCAAUGUCUCAUAUUCCCGAUGUGGGAUUGAUAUCUCAACACGCCCCCGCAUAUGUGGCGAAUUUUCAAGCCCAACACGUGGACAACAUUUUGGGUGACGUGGAGUGCGUGUGGCCUUUAGGCUUCACACGUAGAUGUGGGUAACCCACUCUGAUAUCAUGAUAAAGUAGUCUGGGGUUCACAUUCAAAACCAACUGGCCAUGGAUAGAGAGGCCCAAACCCUUAUUAAUCCACAGACAAUGUCUCAUAUUCCUGAUGUGGGAUUGAUAUCUCAACAUCUACUGCUAUUUUUCUCUUUUAUCAACCAAAUGUAGUGGUACAUUUUGGUAUACAACCAAAUGUAGUCUGGCCAGAAAUAGCAGUGAGCAGUCUCUGCUUUUCUUUGUUAGUUGCAUGCUCUUGAUUAUGCAACCCUGUAAAAUCUGAUUUGAUCAUUCCAAUCAGUCAUAUGUAGUUGGAUCUUUCAUUCCAGAUUCAAAAUAGAAUUGACAGUUUUUUGUUCAAAAUUCUAAAAGAAGUGCAAGCUAGGUCUGUUUGUUCAAUAUACAAAAAUGAACUGCCAAAAUGUGAAAUGCAGCUUGUAGCAUUUGGCAGUUGAUGUGUUUCUCUGUUUGAUGCUUCUGCAUUCACCCUAUAAUGAGAAGAGAUUUUUAAACUUGGGAUCUCUACUAAUAUUUAUGUAAGUAUUACUUGGGAUGUAAGAACCCGGGUUGUGUCAAUCAGGUAGUCUUUGUUAUCUUCGGAAAUAAACACUUCUGGUAUUUAUUUAUUGAAUUAAUUUCAGUUUACACUCCUGAGGUUUGGGGUUGACAUCAUUUCACCCCCCAUACUUUUAAUUUUAAAAAUUUACCCCCUAAAAUUUUCAAUUUUCAUAAAUCAAGCCUAAUUGUUAAAAUUCCGUCCAAUUUGGAGGUUAAAUGUUAACAUGAAAUUUUAGAAAAAAAUGUAACAUCUCCAGCAGUGUAACUAAAACUAUUGUUAAAUUUAGCAAUAAUUAUGAGAUUUAACAAUUGUUAUAAGAAUUUGGCUCCAACAGUUAUUGCUAAGUGUAAAUUAAAUAAUAUUAACAAAUUAUAAACUGACACGUGGAGAAAAAAAGAGGGAAAAUAUAAGUAUUUCUUUAGCAAUUUAUGGCUCAAUUGACAAAUUUAUCAAUUUUGUUUAGCAAUUAUUAAAUUUAGCAACCAUUUAGGUAUACUGUUGGAGCUCCUAUUCAUUCGAAAAGUUGACGAAUUUCAAAAAAAAAUUUGAUUUAGCAAUACUGAUGGAGAUGCUCAAAAGGCGAUUUAUGUUGUUAUAUGACUAUUUUAGCGCUUUUAGUGAGUUAUGAAGUUAAAAUUAACGUCUAAAUUAUAUGAAAUUUCAGCAAUUGGGCAUGAUUUAUGAAAAUUUAAAACUUUGGAGAGUAAAUUUUCAAAAUUAAAAGUAUGGGGGGUGAAACGAUGUCAACCCCAAACCUCAGGAAAGUAAACUGAAAUUAAUCUUUAUUUAUUUAUCAUAUUACCAUAUCAUAUAGCUGGGUCAUUUAUCUAUUUUUAUAUUAUAAUGAUCCUCUUGAGAAUAUAUCGUAUAUCACAUCAUAAGAUCGGAUCGAAUUGCUACUUGCUAGAAUGGGUGGACUGGAAAUUGUAUUCUUGUUGUGUUAUUGCACUUGGGUUUGUUGCUUAAGUAUAUUUAAUCACAAAUAACUUCAGUAUAAAUGUAUAGGAAGUUCUUCUAAUGAGGACCUUUAAGUUGAUGACUUGUUGAAGACUUUUCGGCUUAUCCCACUUUUCGAUCUUAUAUCUACAUCUUGACCGUUUAGUUUAUAAGUAUUUAUGAGUAGAUCAUUUCUCUAAAUUUUCAACUAUAUUGAAAAUUGUUAAGGCUGUUGUAAAGUAAAGACAAGAAGAAGAGAAGACACAAAGAGAAUAGCUGGGAGGAGGUAGAAGUCUACUCAUUCAUUCUCAUUAGCCUCUUUAUAUAGAGGUAGGGUUUACAUCAGAGUACAUAACUAAUGAGUAAUUACGUGGACAACCACAUAAAUUACAAUAUUUAUAACACUCCCCCUUCGAUGUCAACCAAUGAAUGAUAAAAUUAAACGCGCAUAAUGUUGUCUCGUUAAAAACCUUGUCAGGUAAGAAAAACCUAGUGGGAGAAAAAUAACCCUGGUCGAAGGAGAAAAAGAGUACAACGCGCAUAUGCCUUAGGUAACAUACUUCUGGAUGCUCCCCUUGAUGAGAAUCUCCCCUUGAACGUUGCAAGUUUCAUGCGCCGUAAAUAACGGUUUGAUUUGUCUAUCACUAAAGUGAGACCAUGCGUGCUUUGCAUAUAGGGGCUCAUCAUGAAAUUUCAAACCUGCAAAGUUAAAGUAAUAACAACAGCUAGAGCUAGACGAUUAUAAAUAAGUCUUACCUCAUUAAGUCGUAUGACCUAAUUCAUACACUAAAUAAUAGCUAAUCAACAAAAGCUAAUUGACAUUAAAACAUUGAAAUAUCAUCAUGGUGUAUUCAGCCAUACACAUCAAUAUCUCUGUGUAUGAUACGUCUCAUAUAAACUCUACAAGAGCUCUGAGUAAUUCAUAACUUCCCAAGAGUUAGAAUAUGUAGCAACAUAAUGAUCAUAAUUCGAAUUCGAUUGUGUAGUUCGAUUAUAAUACUCAUUGAGGCAAUUUCGAUCACGUUAGCUAUAACGGAAUUAGUAUAUAUGAGUUAACUUUACACUAUUUGAUUUCAUGAAUUAGUUUCAAGUUCUCUCAAGUAUUCAUCGAUCGAAUUACAUUAGAAUCAUUCAUGUACUUGAAUCCUUUCAGGAUUUGACCAGCAAUACGCUGGUAAUGACACUUCACUUAUGGGAAUUUGGUUUAUCAAUGUGUCUUCAAAGGCCCUCGUAAUAUACGAUGACAACAUGCCAUAAGUCUCUCGUCAAUGUAACAGUUACAUGUAACACUGUACUUAUAGAAAAGUAUCAUUCGUAUAAGGGCGCGCAUAUUCAUAAUCCCAUGUCUAUUUGUAGACAUUAAAUCAUAGUGAUUUACUUUCGCUAUGGUAAAUGCCCUUUUGUAUCUAUAGGGUUAAAGGUCAAAGUAUCUCAUCACGUUUCAAAUAUUUAGUUUCAUUUGAAUUGCCUCUUUCCAAUUUGGCUAAUAAUAUGCUUUGUCGACAUGCAUAAUGAAACGUGACAUAUCAUCGAUUAAUACAGUCCUUAAUGGUUUUUGGUAGCUACCAUUUGUAAUUUGUCAUAGAUGAUCAUCAUUCAUAGAUCCCGCACAUUCUUAUAUGCAUGCAUUUUUUAUAUUGGGUACCCAUGCCACUUUUGGGGCAAAUAUUGUCACUUCUAGGACAAAUAUUAUUUAGCGAAUGUAGAUCUUUUACUUGUAAUAUCAUGUAGACCAUUAGAGGACCUGUAUAAUUUUCCAUUUUCUAGAGCUUAAAACUUUAGACCUAGUGAAUAAAUUCCACUCAAAUUCACGCCGUUAUUCAAAUGACAAUAGUCUUAUUCUCCUCCUAACGGCGGGAAGACUGUCAUAUUAUGACCAUCAGCAAAUAUGCGUUUAAAGCUCUAUCACUUUCUUUCGAGUGUGAUGUUCAUUGGCUGGUGGCGAACCUAAACCAAGUAUGAGGUCAAAAACAUCAUAUUCAUUAGUAUUAACCAAGAUAUCAUUCUCUAAUAUGCGUACAUACAACCUUUGUAUGUGUAGCAGUAUUAGGGACUCUGACAUUGAUUAGUUUAUAUUCUCUUCAAGAGAACCAUGUCACUUAGGUACAUAUGCAUCCCACAGAUCAAAUGUGUUAAUAUGGUUUGUCCCUAGGACUUUAACCCAAGCAGAUGCCUUAGCGUUUAGCAUAUAAUUUUAUCAAGGUCUUUUAUCAACUCAUUUGCUGAGAUAUUUCUCAAAACCAAAAUAAGACGGUGGAUAGACAACUCACACCAAUUUGCAUCAUUUUUCAAGAACAAUCUUUCUCCCCUCAUGACAAGAGGAGUGUUUCAUUGAGGUGACAACUUGAAAAUAUGUGGCAUAUAGACUAGUGGUCAUCAAAACUUGUAACUCAUUCAAGACAACAGUCUAGGUAAAUUAUGACUUAGCUAGUCAUGCCUGAUUUCAAUGAACUUCUGGUUCAUGAUAUUAUAUGUCUCGAGUUAUUGUAGAAAUUUAACACUGUAUGUGCUCUUCUGGAGCCAUCAAUGAUGCGUGCAACCAAACGUUUAGGUUUGAAAUUUACUAUUAGAACUUCGGGUUCUACUGUCUGGUCCAAAAAUAUUACACUCGAAAUUCAUAUGAUCGAGAUGUAGGGCUAUUGGCCCGAAUGAAUAAUAAUAAAAUUUAAAUGAACGUAUUGUAAUGAAAAUGCAUAACAAAAUGAGAAAAUUGUAAUGAACAUAAAUAAAUAAACUUCGCAUUGGAAACUUCUGGUUUCAUAGAUGAAUAAAAUAUGCAUAACUCUUAGUCUGAUUAACUUCACCAAAUAUGAUAAUCUUGAUGUAUCGAUCUCCAUAGCAUAAUAUCAUAUAAGGUGGGGAACUUCAGGCCCUCAUAUGAUUCAUAAUAUGUGGUUUCAAUCAUUGUAUAACUAUGAGGAACUUCUGGCCUUGUUAGUCGCAUAAGUUUUUAGAGACUUCAUGUCACAAUUUUGAUUAUCGUUCUCAUGAGGAACUUCAGGCCCUCCAUUUCGAUCAAGAGACUCCAUGUCUCAAUCUGUGAACACAAAACUCAUCAACAAAUGUAUACACCAUCAAAUUAUCAAAUAGCUAGGUCAAAAAGUGUCACACCCUGGUUCUUAAGUUAUUUUACGGUUAUUUACUUUGGUAUUAUUUUGGUCUUUUACCGUUUUAAGUAACCGUUUACUAUUUAAGACUCCAAAAGUUGACUUUUUCUUCUGUUUGGAAUUUGGGAAAACUUCCUUCAUGAAAGUCGUAGAGGACGUUAAACGGAGUUCGUGGACAUGCGGCACGCUUAAAACGGAGUUCGUAUGAAGAAGUUAUGGCCUAAAAACGAAAGUUACUAUAUUGGUAAAAGGAGGUAAAUUCUAGUAGGCUUUAUUUUGUGGGUGUUUUAAGUUUGGACCGGGUGAAGAGGGGGUCAAAGCCCAACUCUCACUCUCUCUCUCUUCCUCCCUUCUCUCCCGAGCUCUCUCUCCCGCCGGAGACUUCAGCUCCGCCUACCGCCGCCGUCUGGCCACUGAAGACCGCCAGACCACCUCUGUUCGGACCCCUGCUGUCUCCUCUCUCUUCCUGGGCCAGUGACCAGCCGUGUAACGCCGCUGUUCGAGAGAAAACCUGCCGGAGACGCCGGACUGCCCUUCGCCGGAGUUCUCUCCUCCGGUCACCAUAGGUCGGGAUUUUUGGCUCAUCUUCUAGCCCUCAUCAAGGUGAGUAAUCCCUCAAAAGGAUUUGGUCUAAUUCGAUCUUGUUAAUGAGAAAUGUAUAAUGGAAGUUUUAGGGAUUUAUAGAUUUUUAGUUCGAUUACCCUAGUUAAGAUUAGAAUUGGAUUAAGUGUUAGUUAUGAAAGUUGUUGUACUUAAUGAGAGGAUUAUUUUGUUAAAAUUUGGGAGGCAAUGGGCAUCGCCGGAGUAUGGCUGCCGGCCGCCGCUGCCGGCGAAGCAUGCGGUGGCGCCGCCACUUGGAGGUUGAUUUUCAGGUUUUUAGGUUUGUUUUAAUGAGAGGAGUCUAAUGAAGUAUAGUUUGGAAUUUUUGGAGGAGUUUUGUUAAGGUUUGAGAUUUUAAAAGAUUAAGGUUUUUGCCGGUUAUUAGAAUGAAAAUCCGGCCGUUGGAUUUCCUCGAUAUUUAUUAUAGAAUGUUAGAAUUGAUGAAUUAAAGUUGUGGUGGAGUUGGUGUGAAUCCGGUGAGUUGAACCCUAUUAAGAGUAGUGGGUUCAACGGAAGAGAGUUAGAUGUUUUUACUCACGUAAUUAUUUUCCGGAAUUGAAGUUAGUCCUAAGCAUGGUUGUUGUGCCAGGAUUCGAGGAGACCCCACUUGAGUGGUGAUUCAGAAUUCGUCAGGCUUAGGCCUAAAUCUGUGAGUGGACAUUUUGGUUUUUAAUUAAUAUGUAUGCAAGAUUUUAUAAUUUAGUAUUUUAUUUUCCGAGCAUAUAUUAUAACUUCGGUAUAUGAAAUGAUCUUGAAAAUUAUUUGAGAUUGAUGCAUGGAUUAAAUGUUGGUCAUAAUUUAUGGAUUUGAGCUCGGAUUAAUAAUUUGGGAUUUGAGUUUGGAUAUUCUUUACGAUUUCCGGAUUUGAGAUUUCGUACAGAAUUGCAUAUUGUUUGGUUUUUGAAAGAUGGUAAUUAUAUAAGUAAAUUAUUUCUUUGAGCAUUUUAACGUGUGGGACAAGUCGUUGAUUUAAUUAAGUUCUUUGCUCUUUAAAUUCUUUGAGUACAGUUGAGAAUCGUACUUAUGUUUUUAGUUAUGAGUUUCGGGGAAACUCACAUGGAUUUAUGUUUCUUUAUUUAUGUCAUACUUGUUGGAUCGUUAUUAUUCAUGCUAGCAUGUUGUUCUGCCUUUCGAGGCGAUGUAGCUUCCACGUUUUAAGUGGGGUUACUCAAGCCUUUUCCGUCUUCGGGUGAUGUGAUGUAGUCGACGACAUCACGCAAGCCCUACACCCUAUCUGUUAUCAUAACAUGAAGGUGUAGGGAGUAUGGGAGUACUUUGCCUGGGAGGCAACCGAGUCUGGGAGGCUCACUUGUAUGGCUAUAUCUGUUUAUUGUUUAUUGUUGUUGACAUGAUUAACGGGGCUAGUCCAUCUUUUUGAUAUUCCUUUUUACAAAGGUCUUUUCAAAUCCUUAUUGUUGUUUUGUCUAGCGGGGCUAGUCCAUUAUUUUGGUAUUUUCUUCAAUGAAUGUUAUUAUUUAUCUUUGUCAAUAUUUUGACUAGCGGGACUAGUCCGUUUCCUUAAUUGGAAUUUUCUUUAUGAAAGUUUUAUCAACACUUGCAUGCAACAGAUUUCUUGAUUAUUGGAAAAUGGGAAAGUAAUUAAGUUUAGUUAGUUAUGUUGCGAUCAGUUACUUGAUUAUUUUUCGUCCACUCACUCUAACGUUUUUAAAUUUCUUUCCCCUGGGCCCUUUGGUUUUAAAUGCCUAGUUUGCAGGCUAAAUUAUUUGAGGUCGAGCGUACAUGGAGUCGAGGCAUAGUCAGAGGUUGCUUCCGCUUAUUCUUUAGUCAUUGUUUUUCGUUUAACUUUAGGUCUACUCUGAUAAUCAGUUAGUGAAUUAAUGUAAGUUAUUGUUGGUUGUGAGAUUAGUUUAGUUGAGUAAUUGUUAUAUUGGGAAAUGUGUUGAACUUGUGGAGCAGGAAGGCUCCAGGUGUUGAGGAUGGAUGUUUGUUUAUAGAAGUGUUAAGUUGGAUUUUUUUUCAGGUAAGGGUUGUCCAUUUUCUAGGUAGAUUAUCCCGAAUUUUCGGUAAAUUUUCCUUGGAGGUGGACCCAGCAAGAAUUACCUCGGAUUUCGGGUUUUAGGGUCCUGUCAAAAAGAUAUAUACCUGAAUGGCUGAAUUCAAUCAUCUAAUUGGUAAUAAGAAGGCUUUGUGUUUCAUUCGCAUAAGGCACAUACCAAUGCUAUCAACCAUACCCAAAUAAACAAAUAUUGUGCAUCGAUAUCACUGAAUACCAAAUUGAUCAUAUUGACGAAAACAUACAAUUCAAAAUUUGAUAAUAAGCAAAAGAAACAGAUGCACCUUCAUGCAAACUAAUUACUAUUAGUUGGGAUCUAGCAUUCUAGCAUCAAGAACCAAAAGUAGUAAAUAAUCAGUAACAUGUACACCCAAAAUUGAAUGUCAAACAACACCAGAUGUCGUACACUAAUCAAGUGUUAUAUAUAUGCUGUAUAUUUCCAUAUACAAACAAGCAUCAAUCUAAUGUUCAUUCGUGUCAUUUAAAAUAUAGGUCAUGUAAUCAGUUUGACAUGUAUGAUGUAUGUAAACAUAAGAGAGUUAUAGGACUCAUGCAUGUACAUAGGCAACAGGGUGUUUGUGCGGUCAAAAGUAUGAACAUAACAAGAACAUAUCAAUUUGCACAACUUCGUCGAAGGACGAUACGGCAGCCAUAAAAGGCACAGGUACAAAAGACACAGGCCACCGCUUCGUUUCAGAAUGCGAGAGGGCUUGGACAACUUUAGUCCACAACUUACAAAUCCCAAAACUCUGGUCAAACUUGGGCGAUCUCAUUCAUCUCCAAAUACACUCCGGAGUCUCUUGAAUGAGAGAUCAAUUACGGGGUCUAUGUGCUUCGUUCAAACUCGAACGCAUAUAUACAACCCCACCCUAUUCAAAUUAAGCUUCAUGCUGAUCAUCUCCAGACGCACAAGUCCAGUCGGCAUCGAGCCGGAACAAGUUUAGUACUCAACUCAGAACCCUUGGCUCAAUGAGAAAAGUUAACGAGUACGUAACAAAUAAAAAUAUGUACACAGAUUAUAGCAAUAGAACAUUCAACACAAAAGCGAAAAAUUAAGAGGAAACUCAUAGAUCAAGAACAUCGGUCAAAUGCAACAAGUUGCAUCGUAUGAUUUAGAUCAUCAUUGAGUUUUUAAACAAAACACUGAUAUUCUAGGGUUUGGUCGUUAUCAACUCAAAAGGUAGAGUCGUGCUGAUGACGUGUUGUAAAGUAGAGAAAAGGUAGAGAAGACACAAAGCGAAUAGUUGAGAGAAGGUAGAAGUCUACUCAUUCAUUCUCAUUAGCCUCUUUAUAUAGAGGUAGAGUUUACAUCAGAGUACAUAACUAAUGAGUAAUUACGUGGACAACCACAUAAAUUAUAAUAUUUAUAACAAAGGCAUUCAUAAGUGUAAUUUAUCAAUUAUGAACUUAAACGGUUCAUAUUUGACAGAUUUGGUUUGUCCAUUAAUUUGAUCUAGUUUGUUAUUUUAAUGAACAUCAAUUUGGCUGAAAAUUUGUAGAAAUAAUCUACUCAUAUAAAUCUAAAAACUGAAUGGAUGAGAUGUCAAAAUGUGAUAAAAAAAUGGGUUUUUUAAACCAUAAACUGAAAAGUCUUCAACUAGUCCUGAACUUAAGAAUCCUCACUAGAAAAGCUCUCUAAAUGUAUAAUCAUCGGCCCCGCUUUUAUAAUCUAUACUCAUCUCGAUUACAUCAAAUUGAACAAUAUAUCUCACCAGUAAUCAUGUAAGUUAGACUUGGGUUUUGAUUCUUUAAGGCUAUACGGAGUAAACAAGAGUCCAUCUUUAUUCUCCAGCAUUUUGAAUCUGUUAAACUAUUACUACUUUUUUCUUGUUUUGAAAGACGGUGUCUAGCUCUUAAGUUUUGAUUAAUAAAACUAUAGAAUAUAAGAAAAAAAUUGAGAGAGAGGGUAUUUACUCUAAUAUGCACUACUUAGCAAAUGAUGCUCAAUUGCCUACAUUAUAUGCUCUGUCAAAGUGGUGAGAAAACGUAAAAAAAAGUCUACUAUUGUUCUAGGAUAUUCUCUAUGUGUGCCUUGGCCUUAUGCCAAUAGGAUAUGUAGUUAGACUAGAUCUAUGUAUUCAUAUCCUUACCAUAUUGGUAUUGUGUAAUUCCCUAUAUAAAGGGCUCCUAUCAAUGAAUAAGAUGAUUCUCUUGCUAUCUCUUUGUCUCUACACUUUAUUCUUCAUCACGUUAUCAUGCACUUUGUUCUAACCCUAGAGCCAAUAGCCCACCAUUUUUUCCAAACCCUAAAACCAAAACCCUAAAAUCGGGCAGCCUUGUUUUUCCCGAUUUUCGACCAAAAUUCCGACUGCCCUCCGCCGGAAUUUUAUAUCCCCAGAAAGCUCUUUCCGUCACGGAUCCAACGCCGCCGGCCUCACCCUGAGAACCGGCCGGAAAGUCUCCGAACCGGCCGCCGGAAAAUUCCAGACCGCCGCCGCUACNN